Molecule: long non-coding RNA, 60364 nt
Filed under: Brachypodium distachyon (stiff brome)
Lineage: Eukaryota; Viridiplantae; Streptophyta; Magnoliopsida; Poales; Poaceae
Description: long non-coding RNA (BDIS_LNC001584)
Rfam family: MIR1120/MIR1122 microRNA precursor family (bases 6190-6324)
Source: RNAcentral
CCGGCUACGAUAUAUAUAUCUCGAUCUUCUCUUGUGCUGCUAUUGAUACACCGAAGAGAUCGUUGGAUCGACCAGGACAUCAGUAAGGAUAUUUUACACCUUCCUAAUUAAUUGCAUUUCCUUUAAUUUAUUUACUCAACCCAAGUAGUAAUAAUCAGAGUAUGCAACUAACUACGCUGAUGCAGCGUCCGUCCUCCCAUGCGUUUCACGGACGACUGUGACCGCUCCUUCUAUCGCACGAGUGCGCUGCAAAUCUUUUCUAUCAAAAUCGCAUCGAUAAGAGGAGGUCUGCAGUGGCCGCUAGACGUGUUUGGCGCCGUCGUAGCGCGCACGCAGGCAUAAUAUUUUCUUCGCCCGUCCGAGGAGCAAUUGCCAGACCAUCACAGAGGAGGUAAUUUGUGUUUUUGUGUUAUCUGAUCAUCUCUAUCCAUCGUCGGAUGGAACAAUAGUGUUACUAUGUUUACUUAAUUAUAAUUCUUCGAUUGCGGCAUCCCUAUCUAGAACUCACGGGUCCUGCCCGUCUUGUUAUGACCUGCAUUGAUCCUGGGAACAUCGAGGUCGUGCUCAAAGUAAUUAACUCGACUGAUCUAGCAAGGUGGGCUACAUACCGCGUACGUACCGUCGAAUCGAUGCAGAUGGAUAUGUUGACUGGUAGAGAUUUUUUUUUCUUUUGAGAGUACGGUGACUUUCUUUUUUAGGGAAUUGAGAAUAUGGUCACUUGUACAUGUAUCAGCUACUGAUUCGGCCGGCAGGCAGCAACUCUUCUUAUGGGCCAGCCAGGAAGGCCUGGUAUCCCUCCUCGCCAUUACACGGUCCAGUCCAUAGGCCAGAGGCCCAAAUCACACAAGCGCACAACAUAGACUUCCACAAAGGCCUAGCUACUAGUACACAUAUAUAUCGGGGUGGGCCUGAUUUCGUGGCCCAGGACGGCCGCCCUGCCCCUCUGGGACGGGCCUGAUUUCGUAGGUAAACUCCUCAGAGCAUCUCUUCCGCUAAAACUUUCCCUCAAGAAAAAAAUUCUCUUCCGCUAAAACCCCUACAAAUAAAAUCUUCCGCUAAAACAAAAAUUUUGACAGAAAUUUUACAUAUUAGACAAAUUGUUGGUAAAAGCCACGGUCAAAGAAAAUGAAAUACAACUUAAUUAUAUUUUGGAACGGAAUGAGUAUACAUUUUUUUAUGAAUGACGAACACAUAAUACAUCAUUUAUCUUUGGUAUGCAUUUAUAUAAUUCAUAUAGCACAACAAUUUACUUUAUUAGAUUCAUUAAAAGAACGUUUAGUCAAGAUUGUGAUGUACUGUCAAGAAGCUUGUCUUAACCAAUAACCAAUCAAAUUGUGCCCAUAAAAAAUAAAGAAAAAGGAAUAGCUUUUCUUAAACAAAUUUUGUUUUGCUAGCCAUGUUGUACUUAAGAAAACUAAUGACAAAUGUAGUAGGGUUUUUGUACAAAUUGCGUAGAACUCAACAAAAAUACAAUAGACUCCGUAAAAAGAUGUAGUAGAAUCACCUCAAAAUUGCAUUAAACAGAUAAAAAUAUAGUAGACCAAAACUAACAUAGAAUGUAAUACACGGUAGAUCAAAACAUAUUUAAAUGAGUCUCUAUGUCGUUGAAACAAACACAACAGUGAUAAUUAAUACACCGUUUCAGAGUACUCCCUCCGUCCGCUUUUAUGAGGCGUGAUUCAUUUUGCUAAUGGUUCACAAAUAUCAGGCGCAUAGUAAAGCCAUCCAAUUAAAAAAACAUGCAUGCAAAAGUGGUCCAAUCAAUAAAAAAAUAGGAGCUUUCCUUGAUACUAGUGAAAACACUAUUCAUGCCUGGUAUAGCCGGACGAAGGGAGUAGUAACUUUUAAUUUGAACUUUGAAAAACAGUGUCAAAGUACUGCCGGAGGAUGUUCAGAAAGUUAGCGUAGGAGGACAUUUGCGAUUUUAUAAACUGAAAUCGAGUCUCAGAUGGAGAUGGAAAAGGAUGGAAACUGAAAUUGAGUUUCGAUAAACUGAAAUUGAGUUACAAGAGAGAUCGAAGUGAUAUACAUGUGGAUCGAGUGCUUUAUGCAGUCUCUGCAGCCUUCUACUAGGCCUGAUUGCUUAUCAUCGAUCAUGGGGGCAGCUUUAAAAGUUUCAGAAACAUUGAAUCAGCUAGCUCCUCGAUCUUCCCCCAUGCUCCAUGCAGCUUUUACGUGCCACUAGAGUUAGUGCUACCAUAAAUGCUUUUAUGGGCCAUGUAUGCCACCUCUCUAUCGGUGUCCUUUUAGGAUGUACUGGACUGAUCAAUCACAUGCAAGCCUGACCUAAUUAUUCAGACACAAACUAAAUGCAUUAUACUCCUAUACUGCAAGGAAUUAAUUAAGAUUGGAUAGAUCUAACCCGAUUUUGCAGCCAUUUAGUAUAGCGCCGGCCUGCUGAUCCGGUCAAUAGCUUGCUGCUUAAUUAGCAUGCAUGGAUAACUAAAUAAGACCGUCAUGCAUGACAGCCAAUUAAAGUCUCCCCAUCAAGAACGGAAAGAUUGAAUUAAUUGGGUAAUUGAUAGAUCCGUCUUUUCUAGAAAAUUAUUCAUCAAUCGAUCUAGAAUGGCAAUACAUUUAUGCAUGGUCAACAAUAUAUAUGUAUCCAUGGACGCCAGGCUAGCUAUAUAUAUCCAAUGGACGCAUCAUGGAUGCCCAUAGCGUCCAUGCUCAUCAUGAAUAUCAUCAAUCAAAAUCUUCUGGGAAAGAUAUACAUGCCCAUAAUGUAUACUAAAUUUAUUCUAAGUCAAAAAUAAAUAAAUUUUGAUCAAGGUUAGGGAAAAUGUACUGGAUAUUUGGUAGACUGUUCUGUAUACAAUUACAAACUUGGUCAAACUGCAUUUUAUAAUUCCGAAGUGAGCGAGUACGGCUUGAAGCAGCAACAUGUAUGCUGAGGAGAUCUAGCUCUAGCUACUGGUAGCAGUUAUGUUUUGUCUGAAUUAGUGCGUGGUAGGGCUAGCGUAGCUGCUGCUGCACAUGAAAGCGUGAGGACAUUCAGGAGGAGUCUGCGGGCGUGCACAUGGAAUGGAAUUCAAUAAUAGCAAAAAAAAAUAAAAAAAAUGGAAUGGAUGAAGACGACACGUCGAUGUUAAAUGCUUUGGCCUACUUCAAGGAAGAAAUCAUCGCAUUUGGAAAGCUCCCAGGUUGGGUUUGGUUGUUGCAUUUUAUUUUUUGUUUUUUGUUUGGCAGAGCGAGAUCGAAGACGACAAAUUAAUGAAAUAAUCGAUCCAUCUACUAAGCCGGCCAGCUAAUUGUAAGCUCCUCUGUUGCUGAACUGAGAACAGAACAAGGCCACGUCCCCACAAGGCAGCGUACGUAGCGAGUGAGGCCACACAUCCUGUAAACGGAACGGAUUGAGAGGGUGAUUUGACAUUAACUGUCACGGAGUUAACAAUAGUUAAGACGCCGACGGUGGAUGUUGGUGGAUUUGUUGCUAGAUGCAUGAUCAGUCGGACAACAAAUUAAUUAAGAUCUGUUUAAUUACUCAGAAAACAAUGGGUGAUAGAUGGAGCAAAUUGGUGAAAGAUUACGAAUUAAGGAGAAACAUAGGAUAUGAACCAAACAUGCACGCAUGCAUGCAUGGCCUUGGCUAGCUCCGCAUCACCUGGACAGAGUGCUCAUUUGCUACUCCCUCCUAUCCAUAUAUCACUUGUCUCAAAUUUUCCAAAAUAUGAAUGUAUGUAUAUUUAAAAAGUGUCUAGAUAUAUGUAAUAUUUUGACAAGUAAUAUGGAUCGGAGGAAUACGUAAUUCUUUACUUCUUAUAAAGACCUGAGUGAGUGGUCUUCCGUUCACUUCACUAAAACACUAUUCCUUAUAUUGUUAGAAAAUGGAUGUAAUUGCGACCAUUCAACAUAGGUAUCACUAUUUUUUUUAACUAUAAUCGACUGGGUUGAUGUAUUUAUUUUGAGAUACGAAGCAGUUGUUAUUCAGCACAAAUUUUGAGAACAUAAGAGCAAGCGCGCAUUUAUUUUGCAAAAGAAAUAAAAAAAAUGAAGCAACGUACGUGCAUUUAGCUAAUUUAGGAUAGUAAAACUGGGCUCCCUAGAAGGCCUCUCAAGCCAUCAGGAAUUUUGGCCGUCAGAUCACAAAUCAGGUCGUUCUUGACCGUCCGAUGUAUCUGUCCGUCAAAAUGGACAAACUGUCCCGUGGAUGCUGCUCCGGUAAAAAAACGAAGGCUCCUCCUUGUUUCGGGUUCGUGGGUCCAUGGCAGACCCGUAAGCCCGUAUCCCUAUUCCCCUCCUCUCCCUCCUCGGCUCCCCUCCAUUGAGCUCGAGAGAAGAGAUAUUCGUUCGCCUCCCCUUCCGGGGGGUUCCACCGUCUCUCCCUGGCAGCAUCUCACGAGGAGUAUACUAUAGAUCAUGAAAGUGUAGAGCGGAGCAUAGAUGUUUGCAUUUUACCACCGGUGCAUUUAAAAUCCAGUCACACCAGUUUUUUUGUUAGUAAAUGCAUGGUUAAUUAGAGUUUGAUUCUCAACUUCAUUGCCCCUGUUCAUCCUUAUUAAGCUCUCAUUUUCACUGACCAUUACUCCCAUAGCCAGUCUAGCCUAUGAUCCCCAAACUCCCAAUGCCUAUAGCUAUAGGCUAUCGAUCACCAUGCUCCUUUCUUUCUUUUCUUUUUUCCCUUUUCUUUUCUUAUGUAGAUAUACUAUCACAUUUACUACUCUAAUUCCGCAAACUCAACAAAUUAAAAAUGUUAGUCGCAUGCUUUCACACUCAUCACAUUCAAUCCCUAAUGUGGGUGGUGAAGAGCGAGGCGGAGACGCCGUGGACGCGCCACGAUCGACCAUGCACUAAGUCGAAGAUGGUGUCAACACGUCAGGAUCGACCGCUAAGGCGGAGAUGCGGUCAACACGCCUCGACAACUAAGGUGGAGUUGUCAUCGAUGAAUGUUGGGGGAAAUAGCCGCGGAGAAACCGAGGAAGGAAUCCUUACGAGAACGUUUGGGGUUUAGGGUUGGACUGACUAGGGUGAAAUUGUUUCAAGAAAGGGAAGAGUUGUCAUUCGAUUGCACAUAGUUUGUUUGAUCGAUUGAUUAUAAUUACGAUUAGAGUUUAUCAUGGCUAGACUUAGAAGGUGUCCUGGACGCCAAACGAGACUAACCCUAGUAGUCUUGAAACACUUUCGACAACGUUGGGCUUCGACGCGGUCGGGGACCAACAAACUACUAAUAAGUUGGAGUUAUCUGGUCAAGAACUGUUUCUUUUCUGACGGAAAUCAACAGGAACACUGCUUAUAAUUGCAUCAAGAACUGUUAUUUAAAAAUCAGAUUUAUAAGAGAUAGCCACACCCAAAAUAUAUAAUUAACUAGCAAAAGAACCCGUGCGAUGCUACGGAACAACGGAGAGUGUAUCAAGCACGAGCCGGUGGAGGCGAAGUCUGGCCACUGAUUUUUCGAUUGGAUUGAUUUCCAUACUGAGAUUGAUACCGAGAUUUUUUGUUUGGGUUCGGAUUGAUUUCCAUACUGAGAUGGAUACGAAGAAUUUUGGAUUUCAUGCUAAGGAGAUUGAUUUAUUUUAGGACUGUUCGUAUUAUGUUGUGACAAAUUUGGACCGUACGAUAACUUUCGGUAAAUCUAAACCGUAAAAUUUCUGCUACUGAAAUCGUGAAUAAGGCGGGAGGGAAAGAAAAUAAGGGGCAGUGGCAUAUUGAUUGUAAUUUUAACGAAAUUGACCGACCAAUACCGACCAACGGCGCCCACCAUCACCACCGAUUCCAAUUUAAUAUAUUGUAAUAGUAAUAGAUGAUUAAGGGCAGAUGUAAUUUAGAAUCCCCUCACGGCCUUUUUGUUAGAGUUUGACUCUCAACUUCCAUGCCACUGUUCAUCUUAAAUGACUCUCAUUUUCAAUUACCAUUAGUUCCUUUCCAUAGCCUAUAGCAUAUGAUCCCCAAACUCCCAUGAGUACGUGUCUUAAUCGGGUUUCCACUGUCAGAAAAAAACUCCCGAUUAUUAAGACGGCACACAAAAAAACUGUUGUCGACACAGUAGAACUGAUUUUUGUUCUCUCCUGUGAACGGAUCGAGCUAGCUAGAGGGGGGAAUUAGUUUAAGGGGCCGCCGGCCGGUGGAUGGUACCAAAGCUUAAUGCGGUGGUUUUUGCUGGUUAGAUGAUCAUUCAAACAAAAUUAAGAUCGAUCCAAGCACGCAGAAAACGAUCGAUCGGUCGAUGAUAGAUGGACCAAAUCGGAUAAAUUAAUGCUCCCUCCGUCCAACAAAAGAUGUCUCAAUUUUGACUAAAUUUGAAUGCAUCUAUACACUAAAUCACAUCUAGAUACAUUAAAAAAUGACAAACUUGAGACAUCCUUUGUUGGACGGAGGAAAUAUUACGAAUUAAGGAGAAACAUUGCAUCCAUGGGCCUGACUAGCUCCACCUCACCUCGACGGAAAGAGUAGUGGAGCAUAAGUGUUUGCAUUUUACCCUUGUUCUUAUUCAUGUUUUGCAUUGGUAGUAUAAGUUUUCUUUGAUUUCCUUGCAUGUUUGGUCGAGGGAAAUCGUCUGCUUUUUAGUUAGAGAUCAAUCGACAUGCUUGGUCGUUGGAUCUUAAUCUAACGACAACAUGUGGGAGAGAAAGGAUUGGAGAUGGAGUUAGAUCGUAAUCAAUGGUACCGCUGCAUCAACUGAGAUUUAAGACUUUUAUUUAAAAAUCAGAUUUCUAAGACAUAGCCACACCCAAAAUUAAUAGAUAAUUAAUGAUUACGGACGGAUGUAAUUUAGAAUCCAUCCGCACCACCUUUUUGUUAGAGUUUGACUCUGAACUUCCAUGCCACCGUUCAUCCUAAAUGAACUCUCAUUUUCAAUGUCCAUUAGUUCCUUUCCAUAGUCUAUAGCCUAAUUCCCGCAAAUCAAACAAAUUAAAAAUGUUAGUCGCAUGCUUUCAUGCUCAUCACAUUCAAUCCAUUACAAUGUUGGUGGUUUACAUCGAAGCGGAGAUGCCAUUGACACGCCACAAUCAACCUUUAAGGCUGAGAUGCCGUCCAUCGAGACGCCACGAUCUACCACUAAGGCGGAGAGAGGCCGUCGACACGCCAUGAUUGACCACUAAGGCAAAGAUGCCGUCGACACGCCACGACCGACCACUAAGGCGGAGUUGUCAUUGUCGAAUGUUGGGAGCGACAGCCGCGGGGAACCGAGGAAAGAACCCUUACCGGAACGCUCGGGGGUUAGGGUUGGACCGACUAGUGUGAAACUAUUUCAAGAAAGGGAAGAGUUGUCGUUCGACUGCAUAAAGUUUGUUUGAUCGACCGUUAUGAUUUAUGAUUAGAGUUUAUCAUGACAAGUGACUAAUCCUAGUCUUGAAACAGUUUUGAGAAUGUUGGGCGUACACGCCGUCGGGGACCAACAAACUAAAUUAAGGUGGAGUUAUCUGCUCAAGAAAUGUUUCUUUUCUCAUGGAAAUCAACAGGAGCACUGCUUAUCUGUCAAAAAAAAGGAACACUGCUUAUAAUUGCAUCAAUAACUGUUUCUGAUUUUUUUUUGUCCCGUCGUCUCGACAGAAAAAGAUGAGAAUUUUUUAACGAGGGGGAAUUGUUAACCUCUGUUCUUCCGUCUCUACCACCGAACCAAACUGCUACCCGCGCCUCUCUCACCCAACCACAAUCCAUAAAUAACCUCCACCCCCUCCCCACCUCGCGCCCGUGCACGCCUGCCGCCUUCCUUCUUUUCCACCAAGAUUAAUCAAUCCGUCCAGGUGAGAUUCGAUUGAUGCCCCCCAAGAUUCGCCUUCUUCUUCUUCUUCUUCUUGGUCUCAUCGACUUCUUCUUCUUCUUCCUCUAGUUUAAUCGGCACUUCUUGUUCUUCUUGGGCACUGACAUUUUCUUUUCUUUUCUUUUCUUUCCCUUGGGCACCCGGUCUUGUUAACCUGUCUGUCGUCUUCAGUUGCAUUGGGAAGUCAGAUGGGAAUCUUGUCGCUCAUAACCGGCAAGCUGGGCGCCAGCGGGUUCGGCUCCGGGUCCACGGCGGAGCAGGUCACCGACGGCGUCGACGCCACCCGCCUCACCGUCAUCGUCACAGGUAACCAACAGCGCCGCCCGGAUUCACCCGCUCCCCCCACCCAGUAGUGAUGCAUUCAGCCUGAUUAGUAUGACCCCAUUAGUAUACCUACCGGUUAGAUUCUUGUUCAUCCAUGGAUGCCCUUAGCGUUCUUUUGUUCCAUGUUUCCCCCUUCUUCGCUGCCUGUGAUGGGGACGUGAGCUUUCAGCUCAGAGCUGGGCCGGGAUGUUUCUGGGUGUUUUGUCAUGUGGUGAUCUCUUUCCUGUUUGGGCACACCCGGACCCUGAAUUGACUGUUUGGUUUUGUGUUGUUGUCAGUUGUCACCAGCACAGCAGCAUAUUUGGUUCUUUCUACCUAUCAUGUUUACGUUGAUUUCUUCUAUAAAUGACAACCUGAUGGCUGUAAGGUUCAGUAACCAAAAGGCCUCCACUGAUUCAACUUCAACAAGUUGAUUGUUAGAUCUGUAUCACUGUGUGCAACUUAUCCUUCUUUAUUUAUGCGUGUGUAGUCGUGUAGACAGUUGGGGAGAUGGGUUUACAACUGGAUUUAUUGACGAUGUCGUAAUAUCCUUUCUUCUUGUGUAUAGUACUAAAUUAACUGCUAAACAUCUGUUGUUCCAACUGGUUUUACUACAAAAGUACUUAGUCCUUUGUUCAGAUGUAUGUUCUGUUCUGUUCUGAGCCGUAACUAAAAUCACCUUGUUAUGAUGAUCUGUCCUGCUCAACGUUCUUGGUUAGAUUCCUCCAAACUAUCAUGACCACAUAUGGUGGGAUAUGGUUUUUCUUUUUUACUUCUUGAUGAUCUGGGGUGGGGAAGUUGGAUAUUGCUUCCUUUUUUAUGUGGGGAAUGAGAGUAUGAAGCUUCAAUUUUCGGGGUCUUGUCUUUUGGGGACUCUUGUGUGGCCAUGAACCUAUUCUGAAUUGUUUGGUGUUAUCUGUUAGUUACCCUCUUUACAAGAACCAAUCAAAUGUCCAUAGCUGCUUUUGUUGAGAUGAAUAUUUUGUUCAACUGCAAGUAUAUAAUCAUACAAAUAUUUGUUCUUCUAUCCUUUCAUUGCACUAUACUAUUUUAAAGAUUUGGUGUUUACUAGUAAAGUUGAAAUUCGUACAAAUCUGUAAAAAUAUGUCCCCUUUUCUGGUUAGUUGUUAGACUAAUUUAGCAUUUAUUGAGAACUAAGUCUCGUUACAUGUUGAUGCUUGAUGGGUGCCUUUCCCUGAAAUCUAUGUAGAACAGCUUUUCCUAGAAGUUUAUUGUAACAAUUGUAAGUUCAGGAUCAAUGACUUAUUAAAUCUAUUGAAACAUACAACUAUGCAAGAGCUUCCAUUAGUGUGUGUUGGAAUAAUUAGCGGACACUUUUGGAUUUUGGCAAAUAUUGCUUAUUCAUAAAGGAUGGGUGUGGUGUGGGUUAUCCUCAUACGUAAUACUUGUGAUAAUUUGUUAAUUGGAAUUUACUAAUGCCGUCAGUACAUUGCAACCAAACCUGUCAUAAAAUGAACUAUAAAUUUAUUUGAGCCAAUUGUAGGUUUAUGUCACAACCAAUCCUUUUCGUAACAUGUUUCAAAGAUGUAUUCACAGUUUACUGAAAACCACAAUUCUGAUUUAUUUCAGGGGGGUCUAGUGGCAUUGGUCUAGAGACCUCGAGAGUCUUUGCCCUGAGAGGAGCCCAUGUCAUCAUUGCCGCUAGAAAUACGGAGGCUGCAUCAGAGGCAAGGAAGCGCAUCACAGAGGCAAAUCCAACAGCUCGUGUCGAUGUUCUGAAGCUUGACCUUAGCUCCCUCAAGUCUGUCAAGGCCUUCGCAGAGCAGUUCAACUCGAUGAAUCUUCCGCUGAACAUCUUGAUGUAACCCCCUUCAUCCCUUAUGAUACUUACUUUUGUUUGAUAUGUACACUGCUCCCGUUACAGUUAACUUUCUUUUCGGGGUAGCUGUAUAUCACGUCUAGUCUGUUGCAACACUGUCUACAUUUCACUGAAUUAAGCUGUCCAAAAUCGUUCUGUUCUGCAGAAACAAUGCAGGUGUCAUGUUCUGUCCUUUCCAACUGUCUGAAGAUGAGGUUGAGAUGCAGUUUGCCACCAAUCAUCUCGGUAUUGUCUGUCACUGCCAGCAACAGCUUACACGCUUUACUUGAAACAUGCUACAUCAAUGGAAGUUUUCCCGGUACUAAUGUUUGUUUCACAUGUCAUGCUCAAUCAGGUCACUUUCUACUGACCAACCUUCUCCUUGAUAAUAUGAAAGCCACUGCUAAGUCUACUGGUAUUGAGGGUCGCAUUGUGAACUUAUCAUCAGUUGCCCACCUCCAUACAUAUCCAAAGGGGAUUCAAUUUGAUGAACUCAAUGACAAGAAAAUGUAUGGAUUUAAAUGGUUCUUUAGAAGAAAAUCUGCUAUUGAUUGAACUGUUACUAAUGGUUUUGUAUUGGCAGAUACAAUGAUAAACUGGCCUAUGGGCAAUCUAAGCUUGCAAACAUACUGCACGCGAAAGAGCUCUCUAGACGGCUCAAGGUAUGAUUUAUUUAUUUCUCCAAAUUUUUCUUCCGUUUUCUUCAUUUGUUACUCAGAAGAAUAGAAAGAUGCAGUGCAUUUUGUCUUUUAGUGCCAUGAUGUUUUUUUACUAUUGUGAAGUGUGGGUCAUUAUAAGAAAGCAACCGCCGGUAAAAACUUUGUGAUUGAAUAACUUUGAGUUCUGAUACCCUCGAUAUGUAUCAGAUUGUCAGUAUUCCUUUCAUCAUAUGAUUUGACUUUCCAUCUUGUAAAACUGGCAUUGAUUAUUACUCUUAGACCUACUUCUGGUUAUGAAAUUCUUGCCCCCAGACCCCAGUUAAGUAUUCCAUCCUGAUGUGCCAUAACUUGUAUGCUGAUGCAACAGGAGGAAGGAGCUAACAUCACUGUUAAUUGUGUUCAUCCUGGAUUGAUCAUGACCAAUUUGAUGAGGCACUCCUUUGCUCUGAUGAGUAUGCUCUCAAGCUCUUGUGAAUUUGUUUCUCGAAUAUCAACUUUUACUGUUUUAGUUAUCUCUGCACCUGGUUAUGGAACUUGUGUGUUUUCACUUGCAGAGGCAAUUCGAGUCGUCACUUACAUGCUUUGGAAGAAUGUACCUCAGGUUCGUCUCUAUUCUUGGCUUUCACAAAAUUAUUACUCAAAACAAUCCCUGGAAGUACAGUAUAUUUUAAAAACACAAAACAAAUGACUGAAACUGUCACAGAUGCAAGUAAUGUAUUUUUAUCAUUGUAUAGUAUCUUCUGAAUUCAACUCUAUUUAAAAGAAGAUACUUUGUUUGUGGUUUUUCAGGGAGCUGCAACUACUUGCUACGUAGGGAUGAGCCCUCAACUGGCGGGAGUGUCAGGUAAAUACUUUGCUGACUGCAAUGAGGAGAAGACGAGCAAAAUGGCGAGGAGCGACGCCUUGGCGAAGCAACUCUGGGAAUUCAGCGAAGAGCUCAUCAGGUCUGCAAAAUGAGGAGCUGAAACCAAAGCUCCGAAAAAGGCGUCCAAGCACAGCUUAUGGUACAAAUGAUUGAUUAGUAUGCAGCAGCAGUAGUAGGAACCAGUAGGAACCCUCUCUCAUGGUGAACCAAUAUGGUUGUUCACGAAUAAAUUUUCACGCUUGUUUCGUCGGUUGGGUGUGUCGUGGCUAAGAUCAACCAUCUGUGCUCUUGUUAAUAUAUACAGUACUGUUUCUCCAAUACAUAUAUUUGCCAGCCUGUUCUCGAUCAAAACUAGAUGCUGAAACUAGUAUUUCUUCAACUUUCAGAAACCUUUGUAUUUUUGCCACUGAAAACAUACAUCAGAGACCGAGAAAAAGAAGAUCGUACACGAUGUUAUCAUUCAUAGGCUAGACUUGUCCAGCAUGGCCUUCUUGAUCGUCUUCGUCGUCCUCCUCCCAGACACCAACGGCGGUGGUGAAGCCGAGGGCGCUGGCAACGACAGUGAUGGCGAAGACGAGCGGGACCAGCACAUCCGGGAUGGCCCGGCCGAAGAGGGCCGCGGGCACGCAGACGGCGUCCCAUGGCGGCCCGUCGAGCGGCAGCCCGAUGCUUCCGCCGCCAUCGUCCAUGGGGCACGCUGCGGUGAGCGGCGCCCCCGGCGCGACGCCCCAGACAAAGGCGAGCUCCGGUGCGAAUGCCGCCACGGCCACGGCCAUGGUGGCCACCGCGGUCCACGUGGCCGCGUAGAGGAGCACCGGGCGGGGGGCUAGGAGGCUGGCCAGCGACGGGAAGGGGGACGCCAUUGCUGGUUGGUUGGUUCGGAGAAGAGCAGAGCUGCAGAGGAGGUGUAUAUGCAGCGGAGAGCAGGGAGUAGAGCUAGAGGAGUUGUUGGGUUUGUGUUUUGGGUGGAAGAAGAGGAUUUGGCGCGAGAGUAGUUGGACCUGCGGCACUUGGUUGAGCCUCAGCUACUCUCCCUGGACUGUUUGGGCCUUUAACUGGAGCCUAUUCGUAUUUACUUGUCAAUUUUGUUUGGGCCUUUAAUUGGAGCCGGCCCAAUAAGCUCAUUCCCCCUGUUCCCUGACCUCUGUAGUCUGCAGUCUGUAGCCACCGAUCGAAUCCCCCGUGCAAGUGCUCCUGCUCCCGCCGCCGCCGGAAUCCACGACCGGCAAGGCGGCACCGACGAGGGGGACGUUUUUGUGGUCCUCUGUCCAGCAAGGGAGCCGGUUGGCCUCUUGUACGCGCGUCCGGUGUGCUCUGCGUGCCCACCCUCCGGCACGAUGCCGCCGGCGCCGGCGUACGCGGUCCUCGCCGCCGCCUUCAGGACCAAAAAGCCCCUCUUUGGUACGCAUCAUCUCCACCCUCUUCGUCUUCGUAUUUCCUUGCUGUCUGAUUAGCGACACUCUCCUAGUCUCCUCUUCGAACGAGCCGCACAUUACGCCCCUGUCCAUUAAGCCCAUCAUCUCGCACUUCCAUCUCAGCUUCUUCACCCGAUUCGAUUUCCAUACGUAACACCAGGAAACUUAGUGUCGUGCUCUGAGAUUUCGAAGUAGAUAUGCUAACUUGAACAUUGCUCAUGUGCAGUUCCUAGGUGGUUCGGCGGUCUUGGUUCGUGCACGUCAACUGUUUGGCGGAAUGCGUCAGAGGUGCUUCCUGACGCAGCCUUGCCUCCACGCUUUUGCCCAACUGUUGUUCCAAGAGGAUAUGUUCUCGGAGCACCGAGGCUUUGCCAUACCAGCGCUUCGGAGGAUUCUCGGGAUGUCUGCAUUGAUCAAGUUCUGAGGAUUCUCAAGUCCAGCGACGGCGAUACUGACCUUGGCAAAGCUCUCCAUCGGUUUGCCGGUGAGAUGGAUGAGGAUGUUGUUCUGAGAGUCCUACAGAAGCAGCGGUCGAAUUGGCAGGUUGCGCUGUUGUUUUUCAAUUGGGCUGCCGGGCUGCCUGCGUAUGCCCAUGGUCCAAGGACCUACACUGAGAUGCUCGACAUCCUUGGGCGAAUGAAGAAGGUCAAGCUGAUGACACAGCUCUUUGACGAGAUCCCUGAAGAGCGGCGGGGAUUGGUCGUGACGAACCGGACGUUUGCUGUCCUGUUGAACCGGUAUGCAGGGGCGCACAAGGUGCAAGAAGCAAUCGAGAUGUUCUACAAGAGGAAGGAUUAUGGAUUUGAGGUCGACUUAGUUGGCUUCCAGAUACUUCUGAUGUCGCUUUGUCGGUACAAGCAUGUCGAGGAGGCAGAGGCCCUCUUUCUCCAAAAGAAAGAUGAGUUCCCUCCUGUCAUAAAGAGCUGGAAUAUUAUUCUUAAUGGCUGGUGUGUCAAGGGAAGCCUGCCUGAUGCUAAAAGAAUUUGGAACCAGAUCAUUGCAUCUAAGCUUAAGCCGGACCUGUUCACCUAUGGUACAUUCAUAAAUUCACUGACCAAAGCAGGUAAACUUAGCACGGCGGUGAAACUGUUUACAAGCAUGUGGGAGAAAGGAAUAAAUCCUGAUGUGGCGAUUUGCAACUGUAUUAUUGAUCAAUUGUGCUUCAAGAAAAAGAUUCCAGAAGCACUUGAUAUUUUCCGUGAGAUGACUGACCGUGGUUGUCAAGCAGAUGUGGCUACCUACAACACUUUGAUAAAAUACUUCUGUAAGAUUAGGCGGACAGAGAAAGUGUAUGAGCUUUUGGAUGAUAUGGAGAACAAGGGCUGCUCUCCGAACAAUAUGACAUACUCCUACAUUCUGAAGACUACUGAGAAACCCAAAGAUGUUAUUCAUUUGCUUCAGAGAAUGGAGAAAUCAGGUUGUCGGUUAGACUCUGACACAUAUAACUUAAUAUUGAACCUGUAUGUCAGUAUGAAAUAUGAAAACGGAGUACAACAAGUAUGGGAUGAGAUGGAGAGGAAUGGAUCAGGUCCAGAUCAGCGAUCAUUUACCAUUAUGGUUCAUGGACUUCACUCCCAGGGAAGGCUGGAUCAGGCCUUGCAAUAUUACACAACAAUGAAAUCCAGAGGGAUGACACCCGAACCAAGAACAAGGAUAUUGGUGAAAGCAAUACAUAUGAAGAAAGAUGGACCUGCUGUAGAAGAUCAGUCUCCAAGCAUGGUAGGGGAGAAUCUAAAACUGGAUCCACUAUCAGGACUAUUCCGAGUUCGUAAAUAGUUCAUCUGCAGAUUCUGCUGCUGUAAUCUUAGCUAUUGGUCUGGGCACAUGGGUUCUUAGGGAUGAGAAAAUCUAGGCUAUGAGUGGCCAGGUCAUCAUGCCCACCUCUUGGGCUGAAAGAAAUUCAGAAGAAAAGAGUCAUUGACAAUAAUGGUGUCCAAAGUUCUUUGAAUUGAGCAGGAUAUGUUUUGGAUGUAUUGGGUGAUUCAACUGCAGGUACUUGUUUAGAUGCUUGUAUUCUGGUGUAUUUGUGAAAUACUUGCAUCUUCUUUUGUUCCUCUGUUAUAUACGUACUGAAAUAUGAACAAAUAAACCAUGGCUAAAAGAACUCCAACUUAAUUUUAGAGUUUGAAUAGUUCUAUUAAUACCACUGAUUUUGCAUGGCGAACAAUUACCAAUUGAACUAAUGAUACAACCUAGUUGUCAGUUUAAUCUACUCUUGACAUUUGUCUGCUAAAAUUACGCCACCUUUUGUAGUUUUGUUUCUGCUGAAUUUAUAGCUUGACCAAUGAAUGGCUACUCAGGAACUGAUCAUAUCUAUUCAGAACCACAAUUGCAUUUAGCAACUUUCACACUAUCUGAUAAGCAAUUGCUUUGUUUUCCCAUUGUUGCUACUGAACUACACUACGUUCUUGUUACCUGUUUUCCUUGUACUGUUUGAUUCUGCAAAGUUCUUAUGCGAGAGAAGUACUUGAUCAAAGAGAAUAAUUGCCGUGUAUAAAACUUUGAAGAGUUGAGUUCAUGAGAACGGAAUCAGGGAUCAUUUCGAUAAACAAAUGGUACUGAUGAAGAGAGGAUCACUGACUAUAUACUUUUCCUAGGUGGUUCAGGUUUCUAAAGUACUAGAGCUAUUUAUAUAUUGUGUUCUUGAAAAGUGAAAGUUUGUGUUUAUUUUGUGGGUGGAAGUUAAUAUCAUCACACCAACUUGUGGCUGUUUAGAAGGCGACUAACUUGUGAUUAAUUAAUUCACUUUUUCUUAUGAAGGAAAACAGCAUGUCUGCUGAUUGCUUAACUUAGGGAACCAAAAGCAAUGAUAUAAAUAGCUGUGCACUUUUUUAUUCGGUAAAAUAUAUGUUCAUCAUUUAGAAGCCUAAAUGAGGCAAAGAAGCUCGCUAAGUUUGUAUAUUCAAGAAAUGACUUGAGUUAUUAGAUCAAAUGUCAACCUCCAACUGUAAAAUCUUCAAAAACCAAAUUCUUUUCGAGGAAGCUUCAAUAUACAAUUUGCUUGGAAAAGGAAGCUGUGGUGGGGUUUAUAAGCACUUUACAUUAUGAGGAUACUGCUACGGCUGUGAAGGGCUUUUAAUAUAUGACAGUCUGGAUCUACUAGAAAUUCUGUGAGAACUGCGCUUUAUCUCUGUCUCAUUCAAGAUUGUCACCUGUUACAUCAAUGAUGGUCAAGAAUUCUAAACAGGUUUCAUGACUACUAAUUUAGGCUAGUCAGGACCUUCUUCAAAACCACUGCUAGCCACCAUUAGUUCAUUGUGAUCUCAAGCCAGGUAACAUCGAUCCUUCUUGAAGAAGAUAUGAGCUCCCGAGUUGGAGUUUUUGGCAUAUAGAGAAUCCUUCCUGAUAACACAAGCAAAACUUUGUUGUGCUCAGUCAGCUUCAAUUUAGUAAGGGGUUAUGUUGGUCGUGUCACUCUGGGUAACAGAAAUUCCUACUUGUCACUCAUGAUGGUCCCUUGUAUUUUUAACAUCUCUCUGUUUAAAAAGUCAUUUAUCAUGUAUAUCUUUUCUGUUGGGUUUACAGAUCAGCCAACAAGUGGCUACAUAUUUAGGAGCUCAUCAUAUCUUGUUGAGAACCGGAGUGGUGGCUGUCCACUUUCACACUGCUAAUGCUGUCUCUUAGGUAAGCUGUAGGCCUACAGCUGACACUUAACUGCUCAUCCCUGCUUUUCUCUGUUCUUACUUAUUCUUUGGCUUCAUGAAAGGUAAAAUAGUUCUACGGAACAGGUAACUACUUUUAUCUGCUGACACUUGUCUAGCUAAAAUCAAAUUCUGUGUAACCUGGAGUAGCAUUUUUUUUCCAGCCAUGCAAACCUACCGUAGCAUGUCUCUAGGAGAUCAUGACAUGCUUCCCUCCGAUGACUCCUGUAGAAUUCACUUGACAAGGAAAUGGGUUCCAUGGCUAAUUUUAUUCUUCCUGAGGAUUCAGUGUUUCACAUAGCUACCUAGAAAUUUGGUCAAAAUGGUGAAAGAAAAUAUGCAUACAGCCCAUUUAGUGCCAUUGAGAGAGAGAGAGAACAUAAGAACAUAGUUUUCUCAGAGAUCUGCAAUUAAUUGAUUAAUGUUUCUGAGUACACUUGUGUGCUGGAUUGAUCUAUUAAUUGCAGCUCACACUAGUUAGUUUCCCCUAAAAUUAGGUGGAGCCCAAACGCCAUUCUCAUUGGUGACGUAGGAGGUGCAUGAAAGAGGCACCAAGCACAGCCCUCUACUGCGAAGAUCAAGCUUUGCUUCCUCCUUUUGAUCUCCGGUGUUAGAUGGCCCCUGUAAACACAAACCGACGGAGUAUAAAUUUAUACUAUGAUUAAUUAUUAACAAAGUUCAAAUUUCUUCUUCCAAAACGACAGAGAUCUAAAGCUCAUAAAUAUAAAUGUAGGUACCCGUUGUUGUGUUGUCCUGGCUUUCUUAUGUUUGGACGAUUUCAUGUAGGGUCCGCUUAAAGUCUGCAUUACAUAUGCAAUAGUCAAUGAAUCAAGUAAACGAUGGUCAGGGUGAGUACUGUAUGUAUGUUAAGAUAUAGUAUAUGCAUGUGUUAAUUAGUUUUAAAAAAUUGCUCUCUAUUGACUAAAAGAAUAUUUGUUAACACUACCUCAACCUGGUCUUGAAGAAAAUUGAUGUACCCAAUGGCCUCCAUGAGUACUGAUGCAGUAUCAGUCUGCCACACAGUUAGGAAGAUGUACAUGUGAGGAUGGAAUAAAAUACAAGAGGUAAGUUUAAUUCACCAAAUAUAUUUAUUUUUCGUAUUUAUAUGCUAUAAAUGAUAUUUUGGUGCCCACCUCAAAGAGUGAGUGCAACAACAUAAAAGGAUGAAGUGCAUUUGCAUGUGAUACAUAUGUUGCAUGCCGCGCCUUUAGCUAGAUUUGGUUCAUAUGCAUAUAUACCAUUGUCAUUAACAAAACUAAGUGCACCGAAUACUAAACCAUCAAAUGAUGGAGACAUGCGUGUAUGCUGGGUUGUACAUGAACAUGAACAAAAAUGCAUGUAGUAAUAUUUUGGUGAGGGUUAGAGCAUAAAUUGUCUAUAUCUUAACUUAAUCUGUUCUUAUUUUUUUCCCUGUAAUUAUAAGCUAAGUAGCUUGUUACGUGCCGUGCGAACGUACCUUGCCAAAGGGUGAGACCAGUUGCUGGAGAGCAGCAAUUCUAUCUCCUAACUUCUCUUUCCUUACCUAAUUAAUGAAAAAGGACAAGACACAUGCAUUCAGGCAAAUUAAAGCUCGAUCAUGCAUGACUCAUUAAUUAAUUAACCAGCAAGCAAAUAAACACAUGAGCAGUAGUGCAUUACUAGUGAUCAGUACUACUGACACAAUGCUAGGGAAGUAGGGAUUAUGGUCACAUUAAUUUAUUUGGGAGUACUGCUGCUAAAGGAGUAUAUUUAAUUACCUUGAAAGAAGGAAUUAUGGUGGUGGAGGGUCUUAGCCUAGUACUCUUCUUCUUGGACGAUAUCGAUGAUACUGCAGCAGCUAAUUGCAAUUGCUGCUCAUCAUGACAUGAUGAUACAUUUCCAUUUCCACUCAAUAAAGCAGCUGGCACAGUACCCAUCUACAUACACCACACAUUUCAUCUCCAAAUUAGCGAUUAAUAAAUUUUCUCAAUUGCAGAGCUGAACCCAGUGGUGUAUAAAUACAAUUCAAUUAUCAACAUUGCAGAGUAACUAACUAUAAAUCACCAACAGUCAUUAAUUAAGAGGCCGGGGGCAUGUAAAUAGUACUUCUGGGCUGAAAAGAAGACGCAUGUCACUCAUUCAUCUCGGUCCUAAAGCUGCUGCAUCAUGCAUGCAGAUCAAAAGGCUGCAUGCAUAUGCAUAGUUGUACUCUACUCCUCAUCUUACAAAUGCACCAGCCGGGCCUAGCUUGCUUGCACAGAGAAACUAAUUAAAUAAUUAAGCAGAUGGACCCAAAUAAUUCACUUUUAAUUAUUUAGUCCCCAGCUAGAGUAGUUAGUUCGAUUCGAUCUACAGUUCUCUGCCUCGUUAAUUCUAAAAUUACCCAUCCUAGCUAUGAACUAAAUAGUUAUCCAUAUGGAGAUAAUUAAACUACGAAAAAAGACACUGCAUGUGUACUGACCUUGUAGCUGGACGAUGGCCCUUGAAGAAGACGGUGAUGAUGAGCAGGAGGGCCAUAGUCAUAGGCCAUAUGCUCUGAUCCCAACAAUCGCGUCCCAGAAGUAGGCAUCAUUGCCAGCUGCCCGCUCUUGCAAAGCAUCUCAAACGCCUCUCCGCCGACCACCGGGCACGGCUUCUGCAUCAGCGAGACAUUGAAGCUCGGGAGCACGACGGCGCCGCCACCACCGUGGUCAACGACGAUGUCGUUGUAAUCAACGGUCAUCGGCGAAGAUCUAUGCCGGCAGCUAUUAAUAAGGGAUCCAACAGAUGCUAGCUUGGGCGCCUCCUCCUGAUCAUCGUCUUUGAGUACUGCAUCUUGAUGCUGCUGGCUGCUGCUGCUUGUGUCUGCCGUCGUCUCUGUGACGGCGCUGCUCCAUUGGAACCCUAGCUCUUGCAUCAUCAGCAGUGAGCUGAGCUGAUGAGGAGCUACUGCUGCUGUUAAUGGAGAAGCAGCAGCAGGAAGAUGGCUAUGGCUAUGGUUAUGGUGGAGCUGGGCUUGUGCUGACUGCAGGAGUAGCUCAAGCUCAUCUGGACUCAACUGGUCACUGCAAACAAGAGUCCAGUUAAUUAUAUAUUCAAACAUUAAUUUGUUUCUUCCAUUCCUGUCUCUAAAUUUGUCAUUUUGCUGUGCUACAAUUCCCAAUGCAAUAUUGCACGUACGCACGGGGACAAACCAGGAGGUAUAUGGCAAACAAGCACCAAGAAAACUCCAAAUCCUAGGACUCAUGCAAAUCAAACGCUGCCAACAACACUUGCACUUGAUUUUUUCCCUUUGAAAAUUUGGAAGGUUUGUUUUCUAGCUAUUUAUACCUAUUUAUUGCAAGAAGGACGCAUCAUUUUAUAUUUGAAAAAGAGAGAGUGAAAAGUAGAAGAAGAGAUGGAAUGAACAGCAUGAAAAUGAAAGUCAAUUGAAUUGAAAAGGGUGCUUACAGUAUUAGGGGUUGGUUCCAUUGUUGGUGGGUGCCUCCAAUGGCGUGCUGAAGAGCUGGAGCAAGUGGUAGGGAAGAAGAAGGAGGCCGCCAUGGGAGAUCACCUUGCAAGAUCAGGUGAUGAUGAUCUGCAGCACUGAGGUCGGAGGAGGAAGAAGAGGAUGCCAUCAUGGUGUUGCUUUGCUAGUAAAAGCUAGCUAGGGAUAUCUCUUGAUGCUUUGCUACUUCCAAGAUGGGAACUUAGAAAUGGUCAGCCUAGCUAGCCUACUUAAUCUGCUCUCUCACUCGCUCUGAGCUUUCUCAAGAUCACACACACAUGUACACCCUCCAAUGGAGAACUAUAAUAGUACACUGUUGAGUUUGAAAUAUGGAGAUGCCCAUCAGCAGCUUUCCUCUCUCUCACAAGGCUUUCACCCUUUUUUUUAUCUUGGGUAACUUUUCUCUUUCUUCCUCCUUUCAAGGCAUCAAACCAAGAAAAAGUCUCUUUCUCUCUCUUCUCUCUCCUCUGCCAAUUACAGGUGAAUCAUUAUAACAUUUCUGCUAGGAUCAUAGGAUCUAUGCCUUUAGAUCCCAGAGCAAAAGCUCCAACACAAAGAGACAGUCUUUCUUUCCUUUGGGUGUAUUAUUACCCAUAAGGCAUGCAGAUGCAGGUAUAGGCAGUGUGUCAGCCUGCCACUAGUACACACGUGGUACAAAAUUGUUCUCCUCAAAAGAAAACGGGUGGAGGAAACUGCCAAAGCAAUGUCAAUUAUCUGUCUUGAAAUCUCUAUAACUUGCAUGUAUUUGUCCAUAUAUAUGUGCGCAUGACAGGUUGAUGUGUAGAUGUCAAAUCAUGUUGCAACUGUGUGGAAGUAGAAAAGGUCCUAAGCAGAGAACUAACCAUAUAUGUGAGAGUAGCUAGCUUGGUAGGUUAAUUCGAUCAGAACUUAAUUCCUCCUGGAAGAGGCCAAAUGGCUCAUGAGGGCAUAUGCUCCCGUGAUAAACAAUAACUCCGAAAAAAUGCUUAGGAAUGUAUAAAAAGCAACGACAAAGAAAUAUUCAAGUUUUCUACCUACUUUGAAAUUUAUAUGAAACCCUUUUAUGACCUGGAUAACAUGUAAAAAAUAUCUGCGCCCUAGAAAUCAAACUUUAUAGGCACUAAUUAUUUUUUGUAACAAGGAACGUGUGAUAUUUUUAAUUUUAUCGAUGCAUGGAACCCUACAAGAACAUUGAGUAUACGGCGUUUAUAUCUGUACACAAUUUUUUAUAAUUUUUACAGUAGAAAUAUACUAGUACUAUUUUUUUCCAUCGGCCUUUAGCUAGAUGCAACCUUCGCUUGGGUUAUGCUACGUUCUUCCUCCGGCAUCUCCUCCUAUAUAUAUUAGUUGGAAGCUUAAGCUUAAAAUAUGACAUAGAAGUGUUGGACCAUAAGUUUCUUUUGUUAGAACUUUAUACAAGCCAUAAGCAUGUUGGGAGGUAAUUAAAAAAUUAGUUGUCCUGAAAUCAUGGCAGUGAUUCUCACCUCCUUUCCUAAUUUCUUUUCACGAGCAAGAGAGAAAGGGACCAUCCAUACAGCAGUGCAGGAUAGAUCCCUUUCCCCGAGGGAAGGCAGCUCAUACUGGUACUACUACCUCCGUCCAACAAUAUGAAGCAUAUUAGGCUUCGGUUGAUCAAACGUUUGACCACAAAUUACUUCAUGAAUAUGUGAUUAAUGUGAUCAAAAUCAUAACCAUAAGCAAAUAUCUUUUAGUAGGAAUAUAAUGCAUAUGAAUUUAUGUCAUAUAAUUAUAUAUUAAUAAAAUAAUUUGUGAUCAAAACAUUAAUGAACGAAAAGCUAAUACGCAACCUAUUGUUGAGCGGAGAUAGUACGUAACAACUUUGUGGCCGGCCUUGGUAAUUGUGAUGCAUGAUUCCAUGGCAGCAAAGGGUGCAAAAAAGUUGGUGUCUCCUGGGCCUUUUGUCCAGUAGCUUAGCUUAGCUGGUUCUCUCUUCCUCCGAGAACAAAAUUGGAGAAUGCCCCAACUUGACGCAGAGAACUGCCUGUCCUACAAGAACCCCAGGAAAAAUGGGCAAGAAAAAUUAAUAUAUAAGACAGGACUGAUCCAUCCAUCCAUCAAAUGAGAUGAGACCCAGGCGCCAUAGUUGCUAGCCCCACAUCCAUUCAUGUCAUGUCAGUGUGAGGAAAUUUAUAAAGUUAGGACUGGGGAUAUUUGUACACUGUGUGAUGAGGAGGGUUGCAUGCACAGUUAUGGGCAAAAUGCUAUUGCCUUUUGGCUCAGUCAUGUAUAGUAGUACUAGCUAGGAACCUACUUUCCACGUGAUGCAUGUGUGUACGUACAUGGUAGACAUAUAUAUUAGGCUUCUUCAAAAUUCCUGUAUACUCACAGCUAGAUCGAUCCUAGCUAGCUAGUACUGACAUGAUAUUUGCAACAUGGAAUUGCCCUAGCCUUGUUGCAUGCAUACAGAUGAUCGACAAGAAACAUAUCAAUCAAAUACUCCCUUCAUCUAACAUUAAGUGAUUCAAACUUGUCUAAAUAUGAACUAAAAUAUAUCUAGAUAUAUGUAAUAGAAAGUUAUUUAAUAUAGGACAGAGGAGUACAUAUUUUGCAGUACGUAAUAUAUGGAUGGGUCCUUACCUUUUUUUUCUUCAUUGUACGUACAUCUGAGUUUACGAGUCUUUCUCCGGCACACAUUAUCAGAUGAGUGGACGGAUAACAUCACAUCAGUAUCAAAAGGAGAGAACAGCUGAGAGAGAAGAAAGACAUAGGGAGAAAGAAAAGAAAGCACAAAUGCAUAUGCAAGCUGUGCUUAUAUCAGGGCUUUAAGCGCGCGGAUCGAUCUGAGUUCUUUUCAAAAAAGGGCAUGCAUAUCGACCGAUCCAUGUCUUGAUUGAUUAAACGGUUAAACGUACCAAUGGUAUGGCCUAAAGCAAACAUUUUUGCUGCCAUCAUUGUAAGCUUUUAGACGGCCUUCCGAUCGAAUCAUCAUGGCCUAAUCAUCUAUAUACCAUGUUUCUUUUUUUUUUCUUUCUUACUUUGCUUUCUUGAUCUCAAAAAUGUGUGUACGUGUAUGCAUGUGGUGAUGUGGUCAGACCCGGCCGGCCAGCUGGUUGUGUGGAAAUUCAUUUAUCAAGUAAGAGCAUCACCAGAUUGCACUGAUAGAGAUUGAUACAACCACUUACAGUACUAGAGAUAUGAUAUUUACUCGCUCCUUUCUAAAUUAAAUACAAGGCACACCAUUUGUACGUGCAAUCAACACUCUAAAUCUAGCUUGGACCUCAUCAAAAUUAUGUUUCAGUCUCCAAAUUGCCAUGUUUCAUUUCUAUUCCAAAUGGUGACAUGAAUAAAUCCACCGAACAAAACAUACAGGAGUACAAUAUUAAUUUGUAUACUCCCUCCGUCACAUAUUAAGUGACUCAAAUUUAAUCAAAUAUGGAUGUAUCUAUAUCUAAAACGCGUCCAGAUACAUGUAAUAAAAAGUCAGGCCACGGAGGGAGUAACUUCUUAGACUCGUUAAUUAGAUCGAAUCCUCUCUCCCAUGCAUGAAUGCUCAAUAGGCUCAGCCUUCCAGGUAUGAUAUGAGAUCUAGUCUAUCUCCAAGACAUAUCAAAUUAACUAAUACAUGCAUGUAUGAUCAGACUGAUUACAUAUAUAAGCAUAGAAGUACAUAAACGGAAGUACGGAUGGAUCAAGGAAUAUAUAUAAAUAUAAGUUAAAGGUUAAUGUAGGGGAACAAACGCCCAUUCAUGGAACGACCCUGAGGAUUACACAAAGAAACACAUGCACGUUGUACGAUCCUUUUCUCACUUUAAACGGCAGCAGUACAAUUUUUGUGUUCCCCGUGUUAACUUAACAUGCAUGCAAAGCAAUGCAAGAUCCAUACCUUAAGUAUGGAUCGAUUCUGUAGGUAGUUAAGAAAUGGUGUUUGCCCAUGCCUAUUGCUAUCAAGGAAAAGGGUCCAGCUUUCUCUUCUUGUGUUGCGCUAAAGGUGAUUGAGAACAAGACAAGAAGGGAAUAUAUGCUUUUGCUUACAACGCUAGGCUCACUCCCGGCUGCCCGCAUGUACAGUACUCUGCACGUACUCCUAAUCAAUAUCACACUUGCAUUUUAAAACAUUUGCUUUGAAAAUUUAAUUAUUUCCAAAAAUAUAAGAUAUACGGAGUUCGUUAGAACACAAUUGAAAAUUUAAUUAUUUCCAAAAACAUGUAUUUUUUACAUGUAUACAUAAUACUCGGCCAUCUAUCUGUCUGAUUUUUUCAGAUAUUUUGGGCUGCUCACAGGCCGAGCUCACUUGAACUAUGUAUAUGUGUAUAACCUUUCCUUUUUCUUCCCUAGAUACAACCUCCAUGAUCUGAGCCUUGACGGUGUGCUGACUACAUCUUUUCUAUAUAUGCAUACACAUUAACUUAAAAUUUUAGUGAAAGUCGAACAAUUAGUAUAUACUAGACAUGAUGAUGUACGUAGCAUGUGUCUUGUCAGCUAGCCAAUACCACCUUACAUACUUCGAUCUCGAUUGUUGGCAUGUAAAUUACUAGUCGAGGACAUGAUUGAGAUCAGCAUGAGCUUACAUGUCACUUUUCUUCUUGACCAACUCUAACACCAGGAGGUGUAUGUGCGUGUUGUAAUCGUCUGUGUUUGUACUGUUGUGUUUAAAAAAAAAAUCGAAAAGGGAGCAUUUGAGUUGGUCAUUGGCCGUGUGCCCAUAGUAAAUAGUGCCUAGUAGGGCCGUACGUGCAUGAUCGAUGCAAACGGCAUCUCGUCGUGGGUCCCAGACGAGUCCCCUCGUUCGCUUAGCUAGCUUGCAUUGCAUCGACGGAGAGCCAUGAAGGUGGCCGGCGAAAGGAGAGAUGCAGGCCGGCCUGGAGACAAAUUAACCGGCCUCCGUCGAUCGAUCACGUCCCGGCCCCCAUGUUUGUUGUGUCCACCUUUUCUUUCUCACACACAUAUCUGCAUAUAUGUGCAGGUCGUCUACUCCAUGCUUUUCAGCAGCAUUUUCUUGCAGGUGAUGACAUGGACGUGCAUUGGGGUCCCACCCCGACGUACGUGCAUGCCCACACAUGCAUGGAUACAUGCAUACACUACAUACUCGUAGUAGUACAUUGCUGUCAUUGGGACCCACAUGCAGGUACGUGUAUAGUAAGUAGUGUAUAUCAGAAAGCCGGCCUGCCUGUGUACGCGUUCGUACGACACAGAGAGAGAGAGAUAUGGAUCCAUAAAAAGGAGAGACUUUCUGCAUGCAUACGUACUCCACUUGUACGAAGCUAGUGCUGAUUCAGUUGUAGCAAUAACAGGAAGGAGGACAAAACCAUAUUCAGCUAGCUUUGCAGCAGCUCAAUUAAUUAAUCAGGGCUAGCUACGCAGGCUCUACCUAGCUCUAGUACAAGUACAACUAUAUGCGAAGAUGCUCAUCUCACCUGUAGCUUGCUAAUUAUUAGCUAUUGCUGGCUCAAUUAGUUCAUCUUUUCUACUCCCUCUUAUCCUAAAUUCUUGUUCACAUAUGGAUGUAUCUAUUCUUAAAAAAUUUCUAAAUACAUAUAAUAUUUCGACAAUAAUUUAGGAUCGGAGACAGGAUUUACGAUUUGAGAUGAAAGGUUUUUUUUAAAAAAUAGUGGAAUUGAAACGAAAGGUUUGAUUUGACAUAUGCGGAGAUCCAUGGGCUUAAUUGGAGGCAUUAAUUACAUGGGCCUUGUGCAACACAAGCGAGAAAGAAACUGUCACGCUAUCGGGCUGCAAAAACAUCCCCAAGGCCCAGGCCCGACAAACUUUGACGAGCAUGCAUCCUCCCACCAGGAAAAAACAAAUCCCUAUAUGCACUCGACCUGACACCUAAGAUGUUUGGGAUGUACAGGUGACACCGUCAUUGACCGUGUUAUUCAUUCUUUUGCUCAGUCUUUCGUUUAUUGAUCACACUAUUACUGGUAGAGAGAGAAAUAAUUUCCAGUUGAUGUGAACUUUCUUUCACCGACGAUACAUACACUACUGGUUCAUAUGCUCUCUCUAUAUACACUUGAAGAUUGAUCAAGGUAAGAUCUACACUCGAUAAUUUAGUUCACUAUUUCACAUCAUACUAAUCUCAUAGUACUAAUCUAAUAGUUGAUCAAAGUGUGACACGAGUACAUAAUAACCCUGUUUUGAUAUACUUGUCAUGUCUAAAUGUUCGCUUGUUGAUAAUUAAGUGGGCAGCAACUUACAUUUCUACUGAGAAUAUCCUCGUCUGAAUGUUGUAAGAUCAAUUUCGGCGGUGUAGUGAGCAUGUUGUCAGUACGGGUGUCCAUAUUCAUUCAUAUUAACUCACCAAUAUUUAGGAUGGUAGUAUAUGUACUGUGUUACAACUGCUUGCUUUGAUAGAUGUUUAUUCUUUUUGUAACCAGGAGAGUCUUUUCUUGCGUUUUCACUCGUGCAUGGUUGUUCAAAGAACGGUCCCAAAUCAUCGCACCAAAGAGUGGAAUUAUAGACGUUUCCUAAAUAAAUGCCCAUAUCUAACACACUUCAAAAAACGAAAAUAAUAAUAAUAGUACUGUAGUACACUCUUAAUUAACCCCAUUCAACCCGGGAAUUUCCUUUAAUCAAUCAAUCAAUCAUAGCAUUAAACUAAUGCAAAUGAAGAAAUUUCCCAAGGCAAUCAGGAUCAUAUCAACUCUCCAUUCUCCACUAAGCAUACUAUUAGCAGGUACUACUACUCCGUAUAUAUAAGCAGAACAGAGCAGAGAGGCCAUGGCAAACAACACAAACAGAAACUGAAAACAGAAAACAGAAAACAGAGAACCUUCGUUCGCCCAAGCCAUGGCCAUGGACUCGGAGCUCGAGAUCCCGGGCGACUGCGAGUACCUCGGCCCUCCAGACCUCAUCCCACCCAACGGCCCAACUCCCCGCCACACGCUCUACCUCUCGAACCUCGACGACCAGCGGUUCCUCCGCUUCUCCAUCAAGUACCUCUACGUCUUCCCCGCCUCCGGCGCCAUCCCAAUCCCCACUCUCAAGGCGGCGCUGGCGGCGGCGCUCGUGGAGUACUACCCGCUCGCCGGACGGCUGAAGCCCAGCGAGGAAGAGGAAGGGAAGCUCGUGGUGGAGUGCAAUGCGGAGGGGGCGCUCUUCGCCGAGGCCGCCCUGCCGGGAAUCGCCGCCGCCGACUUCCGCGGCGCCCGGCCGCCGCAUAAGUCCUGGAGGAAGCUGCUGUAUAGGGUCGAUUCGAAUGGCUUCGUCGAUGUGCCCCCGCUCGUCGUCCAAGUCAGUAGUCCUGAAUUUUCUCUCCUCUGAGAUUCUGAAUUUAAUCAUCAAUCGAUCUAUUGAUGUUUAGUUACAGAUUGAAGAAAUUCCCCUUUGAGCAGUAACUGAUUUUAUGCAUGUUCGUACAAUAGUUCUUGGCAAAUUUCGUAUGCAUGCAUCGAUCGAUUAAUGCGUAAAAUACUUGGAUUCUUGUGGGUUUUGGUAGGAUUGGAUGGAUGGAUUUCUGCAUGCUUAGACAGACUAGUUUAUCAUUAUUCAUCAGGGGUAUGUUUUGAAGAACGUAAAGGAUUUGGGAGUUUUCUUUAGUGGUGAGUGGAGGAAAUUGGGGACGUUGCUCCUGAAGUUAAAUUAUGUUAUCGUGGCCAUUUCAAUAGUUUGUCUGAAGGUGAUCAGUUGAUGUUAGUACUAGUCUGAGAGGGCAAAGAGGCCAUAAUAAUUCCAUUGCAAAAGUUGGCAAAGAAAGAAAGAAAGAAAGCAAAGGAUAGGGUUAGGAGGAGUCCAAGCUUUACUUAAAAGCUCUCAUCUUUGGGCCACCUUUAAUGCCACACUUUGUCCAUCCAAUCCAUCGACCCAUCCACUUGUGUAUGAUCGUGUUGGGUGCUAGCUAGUCAAGCUUAACAUCACAAGUUCCAUUCCAUUCCAUGCAUGCAUGAUCUGAUCUCCAGUAUGAUAUGAAAUAUAUGCUAUAUGCUCCUCCUCCUCGACGACUUUGUACAAUCUAGCUAGCUAAGAUCGGAAUGAGAUCUUGAUAUCAAAAUCUCACUUUCAAGUUCCAAUCUUUAUCGUUUUGUAGGACAUGAGCAUCAGCAUCCCUUUGCAAUUGAUCCCCCUUUUUGUACCAUACAUGUGAAAAUGCUUUUGUGUUUGCUAGUACUGUACUAUGGCCGCCAGUACACUUCACUACACUGCUUGCUUUGACUUUGGAUGACCUGACCUGACCUGACAUGUCCUAGAUACGGCCAGGCAGCUCAAAUUGAACAGAAUUCAGAACUGAAAUUGAAUCGAAGUCUGAAUCAGAAGUAAUUUAAUUUGCAAUAAAGUGACAUGACCAUCUGAAUUAAAUUGAAUUCUGAAAUUGAUGGCAGGUGACUCAUCUGGGGUGCGGCGGCAUGGUGCUGUGCACGGCCAUCAACCACUGCCUCUGCGACGGCAUCGGCACCGCCCACUUCCUCCACGCAUGGGCGCGCGCGGCCGCCGCCCGAGGCAUCUCCCCCGUCUCCGGCAUCGCCAUCGUCCACGACCGCCGCGCCCUCCGUCCGCGCCGCCCGCCGCUCAUCGCCUUCACCCACCCAGAGUACAGCAACGGCAAUGCCGACGCCGCCGGCAUCGCACACCUGCUCGGCGGCCAGCCUCUCUCGCCGGUCUCGCUCACCUUCACGGCAUCACACCUGGCCCACCUCAAGAACCAGCUCCUGACGUCACCGUCUUCUCCUUCUUCUCCGGCUCCGGCGCUCAAGCGGUGCACGUCGUUCGAGGCGCUGGCGGCGGCGGUGUGGCGGGCGUGGGUGCGCGCCCUGGACCCGUCGCCGUCGCCAUCGUCGCUGCCCGUCAAGCUCCUCUUCUCCGUCAACGUCCGGAACCGCCUCACCCCGGAGCUCCCCGCCGGGUUCUACGGCAACGGGUUCGUGCUCGGGUGCGCCGAGUCCACGGCCGCGCAGCUGACGGCGUCAGAUUCCAUGGCGGCCACGGUGAGGCUGGUGCAGGGGGCCAAGGACAGCGUGGACGACGCCUACGUGCGGUCCAUGGUAGACCUCCUGGAGGCGGACCGCGGCCGGAAGCCGGACCUGGCGGCGAGCCUUGUGAUCUCGGCGUGGACCAGGCUCGGGCUUGAGGAGCUCGACUUCGGCAAUGGCGCGCCGCUGCACAUGGGCCCGCUCACCAGCGAGAUAUACUGCGUCUUCGUCCCCGUCGCCGGCGACCCGCGCGGCGUCUCCGUGCUCGUCUCCGUCCCGCUGGCCGCCGCCGACCGGUUCCGCCAUUACUGCUGCCAUCCGUGCGGAGUCGAGGACGGCGGCGGCGCCAUGGCUGACAUGCUGGAGAAAGGCGAGAAGCCGCAGCAGCAGCAGCAGCAAGCGUGUCUUGGACAGGGGAUUAAGAUGGAUUGCUAGAUGGUUAUCAGUAAAUUAUGGGUGUUGGAUUUACAAAAGGCUGCAAAAUUUUGUUGUGUGCUUUGGGAAUUAACAAGACAUGCAUAUCGUUCGUUUGGAUCGGUCGAGAAAUCAAACGUGAUAAUUAAGUCGAUAGCAACUGAGAACAAGAACAGAGCAUCUUUCCUGUUAGUUUCAGACUAAUGUUUGGUUAUUAAUUGGGAAAAAAAAUUAACCGUAAAAAUAUGUUUUGAUCUCCAAAAGGUCAAUGGAAACAUCAGACGUGUGGAAUUAAUGGGAAAAUAAAAAUCAAACAUGAUAAAUUAAUGGAUCACCUAUUUGGUGCGGUAAACACCCGGCACAAGUGCAAUAUAAAACUACUAAAAAUGUAUGAGACAAAAGUGUAAUAGACACUCGUCACAGGUACAGUGUAAAGUCCAAAUUGUUCUAGAAAAAUGUCAAACCCAUUUGUCGAACAACUUGGUAGCAGGUGGAAGAAUUAUCCCGUGGCCGGAUCAAGUUGCCAGCGCGCGCGUCCUUGUUGAAUAUCUUCAAUUCGCAAAGUUGUUUGUUGCUAUAGCACAUUUGACUUUCUUGUUGAAUUAUCUCAGUUAUUUUGUGGGCCGUCGUAUCCUUACGCCAAGAUUCGUGAAAGGGUGGUUGCGGGGUGUUUUUUAUUUUAUUUUGGCUCGGACCUUUUCUCCCCGCGGCUCACGGCUGCUCCUCGGCCUACGCUAUGUCCGCCUCUUAUCCCCGAUUCAUGCACCACCGCCGACCUUUCCCCGACCGGAUCUGGGCGCGCCGCCACCUCCUAUGGGCCGGAUCAAGUUGCCACCGCACGCGUCCUCCUCUCCCUCCUAAGCGCUGCGUGCCCCGACCUCCUGUGGCCAGAUCCACACACGCCGCCUUCUUCCACGACCGGAUCUGGCCAUCGCGCCGCCCGGGAGAGCUGCUGCCGAGGGAAGCGCCUCCGCCGCUCCUCUUCCCGGCUCGCCACCUCUUCUCCCUGCGGCUCACAGUUGCUCCUGGGCCUACGCCAUGUCCGCCUUUUCUCCCUGAUUCGUGCACCACUGCCGACCUUGCCCCGACCGGAUCCGGGCAAGCCACUCCUCCUCCUAUGGGCCAGAUCCAGUCGCUGCCGCGCGCCUCCUCCUAAGCGCCCUGCCCCCAACCUCCCGUAGCCGGAUGCACGCGCGCCGCCUUCUCUCCUACGGCCGGAUCCAGCCAUUGUGCCGCCGUGCCGAUCGAGAGAUCGCCACUGCCGAGGUAUGCCGCCUCCCUCCUUCCACGGCUCGCCACCUAGCUCUUCUCCCCGCCGCCACUGACCCUAACCCUAAACCCUGCCCUGGCCGGAUCCGGGCACGCCGCCGCCUCCUACUGGUCGGAUCCAGUCGCCGCCGCGCACCUCCUCCUCUCCCUCUUCCUAAUUAAGCGCCGCACCCCAACCUCCCAUGGACGGAUCCAUGCGUGCUGCUUUGUCCUAUGGCUAGAUCCGGCCGCCGCGCCGCUUGGGAGAGCCGCCGUCGUGCCGCCGGGGGAGACGUCGCCGCUAGGUUAGUUAUUUUUCUAAUAAAAAUAAAAGUCAAAUGACAGGAGUUCUUUAUUGAAUAAAUUUUCUUGAAUAAUUAUUUCAGGUUCUAUAACAAGCAGGACCAGAGAUUGAUUACAAAGUAGAAGGUAUUUAUUUGAUAUCUUCUUCUAAUUGCAUUUUCUUAUAAUCUUAGUUGCAGCUGUGCUACUGUGUGCAAUUGGAGUGUUUCAAAUUACCAUCACAUUUUUAUGAGUCAUAAUUUCUGUCCGAUAAUAUGCAAUCAUGUGAGACAGAUGGCUGUGACCAAUAAUAUGCAAUUAUGUGAAACCUGGCUCCUGCGGGUUUUAAGCCUAUCAGGGAACGAAGAUGGGUCAGUUGGACCCUACAGGGCUGCUCAUGGGCCAAAACUUACACCUGACCAGUUUUACCGGGACAUACUCCCCGCCCCUCAAAACCACCGAAACCCUAUAAUAUAUUUGGCCUCCUCCCCCUGCAAAAUUCCAAAUCGAUCCUGAGGGCAACUUCAACAAUGGGUACAACACAGAUACCAAGAAAGUACUAGCUAAUGUGGAGGAAGAAUGCAUAUCACAAGUAAGUAGUGGUUACUUGUUUAAGUAACCACUACUACCCGGGUACCAAGAAAAUGGUGAAGAUGACUUGUGGAUCCAUCAAAAAAGAGAAAGGAAUAAGAAAAGAAAAAACAUAUUGAAAAGAGAAGAAAAGAAAAUUAGUAUCGACUAUCAUUCGACCACAACCACUAGCUCCUUUAGAAUGGCCCAAACGCCAAACCUACUCUACAUCAAUCUGAAAUCCACAACUCUACCCCAACGCUGACAUUCCGUCCUACAUUACCCCCUCCCUCUCCAGCGCUAUCGACCACGCCCUGGCAUUCCUUGUCCAGAGUCGACCAUAUCUCCGCUGGAUCGUUCUGCGCCUCCUUGAAUACACACACAACCCCGAGGCUACACCCCCGUGUUCCCUUUGAUCUCAAGGAGUCCAUGGCCGGCAUCUGCUAGUCACAGUUUCUCUUCCCAAGGGAACCACAUGCACGGUGGGCCUGGGGGGUGGAUGAGAGGACGACGCCUGAAAGCCUCCAACUCCAAGCCUCCAUCCACCACUGAUGUGAUAGAAGCCCCCUAUCCAUCGCUUACAAGAAGGUGCAACCCCUUGAGUUCUUAAGUUCUCAUCGUAAGAUAUAACCAUAUUGGGUGCUUGUCAAUCUUCCAUUGCAGUGGCCACAAUGCUCUCUGAAAUUGCAAAUAUAGUAGAAAAUUACAACAUGAGUGCAGUACAUGCUCGUCACGAUUGCGGUAGAAGACUACCCAAACACAAAACAUGCAGUAGACAAAAGUGCCUUAUACACACCUUCCACAAGUGCAAUGUAACAGUACAAAAAAUGUAAUAUGCAAAACUGUAGUACAUAUAUAUCACGUUGGACCUUCCACGAAUGCAUUAUACACACCUUCCAUAAGUGCAAUAGAAAAGUACAAAAAUGUACUAUACAAAUUAAAAAUGUUUACAAAUCAUGUUGGACCUUCAACAAGUGAUGUAGAAAACCUACUUAAAAAACUAAUAUAUUAAACUGUAGUAAAUAUCCCAUUGGUGGUCAAGGGAUUAAAUGUCUAGUAUAUAUAUAGGUCGUGAGCAGUGGUCGUAUUCAAUACCAUACUAGGGGCGGAGACAGGUAAAGAAUAUAGGGAGGGUUUUUUUUUUUUGGGGGGGGGGGGGGGCAAAGCAUACAAUGUAAAGCUUAUAGGAUGAAAUUACAAAGAUUAUACAUGGGUUUAACUAAAAAUGCCAAAUCAUAGGGGGGGCCAAGGCCCAGGCUGGCCUGGGUUGUGCCUCCGCCACUGAAAGGUAUGGUGACUGGAGGUUCGGGUGGUUGAGGCCAAGGAUGAGAGCUAGAGGCUAGUUAACAGUAUGAAGAAAGGCAAAUCAACUGCCAAGGUUGAUGGUACAGUUGUAAAAAUAGGCCGAAAAAGCAAAGAAAACUUCUGCUAUCAGAAAUCAUAAAAAGGGACCAGGCAGGGGGUUCUAGAAAUGGUAUUGGAGUUGAUGGUGAGAACCUUGCCGAUCUCUCCUAGGAUGAUAGAAGUACUACAUAUGAUGUUAUUCCUUUUAGCCACCCUUCGGUGCGAGAAAUCUAGUCAACAACUGUUAAUUAAGAAGACAAAAACAUGCAGUAGACAAAAGUGUCUUUUACACACCCUCCACAAGUGCAAUAUAACAGUGCAAAAUAUGUAAUAAGUAAAUAUCAAGUUGCACCUUCCAAAAGUGCAUUAUACACACAAGUGCAAUAGAAAAGUACCAAAAAUGUACUAUACAAAUUUAAAUUGUAGUACAAAUCGCAUUGAACCUUCAACAAGAGAAAUAGAAAACUACUUAAAAACUACUAUAUGAAACUUUAAAAAUAUCUGGUUGGUGGUCACGGGAUUGAAGGUCUAGAAUAUAUAUAGGUUGUGAGCGGUGGCCGUAUUCAAUAUCAAUGGUAUGGUAAUUAGAGGUUCGGGCGGUUCAGGCCAAGGAUGAGAGCUAGUGUCUAGUUAACAGUAUGACGAAAGGCAAAUCAACUGCCAAGGUUGAUGGUUCAGUUGCAAAAACUAGGCCGAAAACGCAAUUAAAAGGUGCGCAAUCAGAUACAUAAAAAGAGACCAGGCAGGGGCUUCUAGAAAUGGUAUUGGAGUUGAUGGCGAGAACGUUGACGAUGUCUGCGAGGAUGAUAGAUGUACAUAUGAUGUUAUUCCUUUUAGCCACCCGUCUGUGAGAGAAAUCUCGUCAAAUCGCUAAUUGACACUGCGCUCCCCACUUGCACCUCCUUUCCUAUUUCUGCCAUCAAUCCAGCGUAUGCUAGGUGCCACCGAAUUCGAAUCAACACACUCUCCCAGACCUCGCAUGCCCAAAUCGCUAAUUGACCUUGAAUUCCCUACUUCCACCUCCUUUCCUAUUUCGGUAGCUCUCUGACGGUCACGUCCGGCAGACUUUUUCUCAUCUCUUUACUGAUUAUAUCUUCCCUACUCCUUCCGCCUAUUAUAUAUUAGGGUUACUCAGUCUGCCCCGCCACCCUCCCCAUCCUGGCUCAGCUUGUUUAACCACCGGAGCCGGCAUGACUUGCCCGUGUGCCCCGACACCCCCGUGAUGAUCAGGCUUCAAUGCCCCGGCCCAUAGUUUUCGACCAUGGCCGUCAGCUAGGCGUUCCCAUUGGAGCUCCACGGGCGGCCUUUCCUCUCCAUCUCCUCCUGCAAUUCUCCGGUGGAUCUGUUGAUGGGUUGGAGACUGUAGUAGGAUAUGCGAGUGUUUACAUAUAGCGGGAAGGAGCACGCCCGCAGCGCACGCGCAUAGAAAGCUUUGAGGUAUGCUUUUUGCGUAUGUGCGUUAUGUUUCCCGUGGACGCUCCUAUAUGAUGUUGGUGGCGUUGUACUUUGUGAUUGCAUCUGGCGGUGGGCUUGCUUACUUGGAUGGCUAGAACAACGUUAGUUUCGUCCAACGGGCCAUGAUAAAGCCAGUGAGCAUCAGUUUCGUUCAACAUGCCACGACAAAGAAAUGUUUGAUCUCACAUUAUGACGAAAGGCUAAUCAACUUCCCAGGUAGAUGAUUCAGUUGUAAAGGCUGGAAAAGGCAAAGAAAACGUAGGUUGUCUGAAAUCAUAAAAAGAGACCAGGCAUGGGCUUUUAGAAAUGGUAUUGGAAUUGAUGGGAGAAUGUUGCCGAUCUAUGUGUGGAUGAUAGAAGUACAUAUGAUGUUAUUCCUUUGAUCCACCCUUCAGUGGGAGAAAUCUAGUCAAAAACUGUUAAUUAAGAAAACAAAAACAUGCAGUAGACAAAAGUGCCAUAUACACACCUUCCACAAGUGAAAGAUAACACUACAAAAAGUGUAAUAAGUACACACCAAGUUCACAAGUGCAUUAUACACACCUUCCACAAGUGCAAUAGAAAAGUACAAAAAAUGUACCUAACAAAUUAAAAUUGUAGUACAGAUCACAUUGGACCUUCAACAAGUGAAAUAGAAAACUAUUAAAAAAUUAAUAUAUAAACUUUAGUAAAUAUCCUAUUGGUGGUCAGGGGAUUAAAGGUCUAGAAUACAUACAUAGGUGGUGAGUGGUGGUCGUAUUCAAUACCAAUGGUAUGGUAUUUGGAGGUUCGGGCGGUUCAUGCCAAGGAUGAGAGCUAGAGGCUAGUUAACAGUAUGAAGAAAGGAAAAUCAACUGCCAACGUUAAUGGUUCAGUUUUAAAAAUUGGCCAAAAAGGCAAAGAAAACAUGCGCUAUCAGAAAUCAUAAAAAGAGACCAGGCAGGGGGUUCUAGAAAUGGUAUUGGAGUUGAUGGCAAGAACGUUGCUGAUGUCUGCGAGGAUGAUAGAAGCACAUAUGAUGUUAUUCCUUUUAGCCACCCGUCAAUGGGAGAAAUCUCGUCAAAUCGCUUAUUGACCCUGCACUCCCCACUUGCACCUCCUUUCCUAUUUCGGCCAUCAAUCUAGUGUAUGCCAGGUGCCACCGAAUCAACCCCCUCUCCACACCUGGCAUGCCGCUAAUUGAUCUUGCACUCCCCAUUUGCACCUCCUUUCCUAUUUUGGCGGCUCUCAGACGGUCAGGUCAGCCAGACUUUCUCCCAUCUCUGUAUGAUUAUAUCUUCUUUCUCCUUUCCUAUUAUGCACUAUGAUUAUGGGUGAGAACAAGGCCAUGAAACCUAGUUCCUGCUGCUUUUAGCCUAUGAAGGAACGAAAAUGGGCCAGUUUUCACUCGUAAGGUACGGGUUUAGCAGUAAAACAAAUCCCUGCGAGCCUUUAAAUGGAAAAUUUUGUCACGAGCAUACCCUCGUCAUACACAAAAUAGGCACAACGCCGGCCAUGCACAUAAGGCCCAAUCCGCCCUGCCCUACUCCCUCGGCCUAUUAUAUAUGAGGGUUACUCCCCAAGUUGACCAGUCUACCCCACACCCCUCGCAGGCCUGGAUCAGCUAGUUGAACCACGGUACCGGAGCCGUCAUGACUUGCCCGUGUGCCUCAGCACCCCCGUGAUGAUCAGGCUCCAAUGCCCUGGCCCGUAGUUUUGGACCAUGGACGGCAGCUAGGCUUCCUCGGCGGAGCUCCACGGGCCCUUCCUCUCCAUCUCCUCCUGCGACUGUGCACUGGAUCUGUGGAUGGGGAGGAGACUGUAGUAGGAGAUGGCAGUGUUUAUAUAUUGCGAGAAGGAGCACGCCUGCAGCGCACGCUUAUAGCAAGCUCUGAGGCAUGCUUUGUGCGUACGUGCGUGAUGUUUCCUGUGGACGCUCCUAUAUGAUGCUGUUGGCGUUGUACUUUGUGAUUGCAGCUGGCAGUGGGCUUGCUUACCUGGAUGGCUAGAACAACAUCAGUUUCGUUCAACGGGCUGCGAUAAAGCCAGUGAGCAUCUGUUUCGUUCAAUGCGUCGUGACAAAGAAACGUUGGAUCUAACAGCAUGAAGAAAGGCUAAUCAAUUGCCCAGGUUGAUGACUCAGUUGUUCACUAUCAGAAAUCAUAAAAAAGAGCAGGCAAGGGUUCUAGAAAUGGUAUUGCUGUUGAUGGUGAGAAGGUUGCAGAUCUCUGUGAGGAUGAUAGACGUACAGAUGAUGAUAUUCGUAUUAACCUCCCAUCAGUGAGAGUAAUCCGGUCAAAAACUGCUAAGAAGAGAAAAUAUAAAAGAGUUGAUGUUGUAGAUGAUGGUUCUUGGAAUGAAAACAUGAACUGAAAAGAAAGACCACCCAGGACACAAGGAUUUUGACUCUUCUGUUGCUUAAAUAUCCUGCAGAUAUAUUGUCCUCUAAGUGAUGAUUCUUCAGUUAUGAACCUGGGCAUGCUCACUUGGGCAGACAGAUUGCAAGGCUGUUUAGUACAUGCAUGUGUUUUACCAGGGAUAGAUCCAGGAGUAAUUGCACCCGCCUGCUUUCUGGAGAUUGUUGGUAUCCGUGAUUUCAAAUAAAACGUCUAAAAUAAACGGACAAGGGGAAUACUUAAAAUGUAACCGAAAAAAUAUUGCAGUAGGCAGUAGACACCCUUCACAACUGCAAUAUAAAACUACUAAAAAUGUAAAAAGAUAAAAAGUGUGAUAGACACUUUUCACAAGCGUGGUAGAAAACUAUAAAUGUAAAAUACAUAGUAGAGACCUAGAGAAAAUGGAAUACACACUUAUUAUUAUGCAGCAGAAGCCUUAUAGAUAAGUAUUCUUAUUUUGAGGAGGAGCUGCCCCGUUUCGAUACAUUUAAAUGCAAUAUAAGAGUGAACCAUGUUGCCGACACUGAAUUGCUAGCCAUAGAAAACCGCAAUCCGAAAGUCCUUGACUCUCUCAGUCUAUUCUAUAUUAGGGUUACUACCCAAGUCGGCCACUCUGCCCCACCCCCCACCCCGGCCGGGCUCAGCUAGCUGAACCAACAGAGCCAGCACGACUUGCCCGUCCGCCCCAGUACCCCCGUGAUGAUCAGGUUCCAAUGCCCCGGUCCAUAGUUUUGGACCAUGGCCGUCAGCUAGGCGUCCUCGACGGAGCUCCCCUGCGACAGUGCAGUGGAGCUGUGGAUGGAUUGGAGACUGGAGUAGGAGAUGGGAGUGUUUAUAUAUAGCGAGAAGGACCACACACGCAGCGCACGCGUAUAGAAGGCUCUGAGGCAUGCUUUGUGCGGACGCGCUUGAUGUUUCCUGUGGAAGCUCCUAUAUGAUUGAUGUUGUUGGCGUUGUACUUUGUGAUUGCAGAUGGCGGUGGGCUUGCUUACCUGGAUGGCUAGAAUGACGUCAGUUUCGUUUAACGGGCCGCGAUAAAGCAAGUGAGCAUCAAUUUCAUGCAAUGUGCCGUGACAAAGAAAUGUUUGAUCUAACAGUGUGAAGAAAGGUAAAUCAACUGUCCAGGUUGAUGUUUCAGUUGGAAAAAAGGUUGGAAAAAGUAAAUAAAACGUUCUCUACCAGAAAUCAUAAAAAAAGAGCAGGCAGGGGAGAUUUUAGAAAUGGUAUUGCAGUUGAUGGCGAGAAAGUUGCGGAGCUCUGCGAGGAUGAAAGAAGCACAUAUGAUUUUAUUCCUAUUAGCCACCCAUCAGUGAGAGUAAUCCGGUCAAAAACACCUAUGAAGACAAAAUAGAAAAGAGUUGAUGUUGUAGAUGAUGAUUCUUUACUUAUGAAUUGGAUGGAUAAAUUCCUAAGAAAACAAGAACUGAAAAGAAAGACCCAGAACACAAGGAUUUUGACUCUCCUGUUGCUUAAAUCUCCAGCAAAUAUAUUUUCCACUAAGUGAUGAUUCUUCACUUAUGAACCUGGGCAUGCUCACCUGCGCAGACAGCUUGCAAGGCUAUUUAGUACAUGCAUGUGUUUUACCAAGGAUAGAGGAGGAAUUGCACUGGCCUGCACACGUGCUUUCUGGAGAUUGUUGGUAUCGGUGAUUCAAAUAAAACGUCUAAAAUAAACAGACAUCGGGAGUACGAAAAAUGCAUCCGAAAAAAUAUUGCAGUAGGCACAAACACCCUUCACAAUUGCAAUAUAGAACUACUAAAAAUGUAAAAGACAAAAGUGUGAUAGACACUUCUCAUAGGCGUGGUAGAAAACUAUAAAUGUAAUGUACGUAGCAGAGACGUACAGAAAAUGGAAUACACACUCAUCCUUGUGCUACCUCCUAUGAAUACAGUUAAAUCCAAAAGAUCACGCAAUAUAAGAGUGAACCAUGUUGCUGAAACUGAAUUGCUAGCCAUGGACCACAAUCUAAAAGUCCUUGUGUAGGAGCCCAAGGAGUGCGUGGACCAUGCCUACGUGGGGUCCAUGGUGGACCUCCUCAACGACCGUGACUAGAAGUCGGACCUGUCGGCGAACCUGGUAAUCUCACACAUGGACCCGCUCACCCGCAAGAUGUACUGCCUCUUUAUCACCGUACUUGUCUCCGUCCCGCAGGUUGCCGCCGACAGAUCCACCAAUAGAUUCCGCCAUUACUGCUGCCAUCCGUGUCCCAGCACUGAAGUCGAGGACGGUGUUCUAGGAAACUACUCUUUCUAUCCAUGCACGGAUGCACCAUACCUCUCACGUGCACUUUCACCUGGGCAUGCUCACUGGCCACAUCAAGGAUUGAGCUCAAAAAAGAAAUGUUGGAUCUAACAGUAUGAAGAAAGGCAAAUCAACUGCCAAUGUUGAUGGUUCAGUUGUAAAAAUAGGCCAAAAAAAGCGAAGGAAAGGUUCGCUAUCGGAAAUCAUAAAAAAAGACUAGGUAGGGGGUUCUAGCUAGAAAUGGUAUUGCAGUUGAUGGUGAGAAGAUUGCUGAUCUGCGAGGAUGAUAGAAGUACAUAUGAUGUUAUUCCUUUUAGCCACAUGUCAGUGGGAGAAAUCGUGUCUGGCACCUUCUUUCAUUUCUUCAUUGAUUAUAUCUUCUUUAUUCUUGUGUUUUAUUUCUCCUUUACUUUAUGCACUAUGAUUAUGGGUGGGAACGGUGUUCCAGGAAACUACUCGUUCAACUGCAACUCCUUCACGGAGUGUUUGAUCUCUUGUUGUGCCGGGAAGGCACAUCUUGAAAGGGGUGAUUGUUCUACAUGAGACCAUCCAUGUGCAUCAUCGGAAGAAAUGGAUGAGGUGUUGUUUUCAAAUUGACUUUGAGAAAGCUUACGACAAAGUUAAUUUUUUACAAAAGGCGCCUUGUAUGAAGGGAUUCAAUAUGACAUGGCGCAAUUUGCGAGGAGGGCAUUGUGUGGGGGUUAAGGUUAAUGAUGAUUUGGGGAAUUUCUUUCAAAAUAAAAAAUGUUUAAGACAUGGCGAUCAGUUAUCUCUUCUGCUUUUCAAUAUUGUAGGUUUGUAGCCGAUAUCUUGGCUAUCCUAAUUGCUCGGUAUAGUUGGAGGGCUCAUCCACCAUUUAGUUGAGGGAUGUGUUUCUUUACUCCAAUAUGCAGAUGAUACCAUUAUCUUCUUGGAACACAACUUAAAGAAUGUUGUCAAUAGGAAGCUAAUUCUUUGUAUCUUUCUACAUCUAUCUGGUCUUAAAUCAAGUUCCAUAAAAGCGAGAUAUUAUGUUUUGGAAAAUCUAAGGAGGAGGAAUCCAAUUAUAAGCGCCUCUUCGGUUGUGAGUCAGGGUCGCUACCGUUUCGCUACCUUGGGAUCCCUAUUCACCACCAUUAAUUGCUUGAUAAGGAAUGGAAGUCCAUUGAGAAUUGUUUUGAGAAGAAGCUGGGGUGCAGGAAUGGUAAAUUACUUUCUUAGGGAGAUCGUCUUACUCUUAUAAAUUCAGUGCGCUAGAGUGCCCAUCUUUAUUUUUUCCUUGCUUGAAAUUCCCGUCGUGACUAGUAAGAGAUUCGAAUUCUACAUAUCUCGUUUUUUUGGCAAUCUGAUAAGCAUAAGGGUGAAUAUAGAUUGACCAUAUGGAGAAUUAUCGAUCUGUCGCCCAAAAGAUCAGAGCGGACUGGAUAUUGAGUUACUGGAGAUAAAAAUAGGUGUUUACUUAGCAAAUGGUUGUUUAAAAUCCUCAAUGAAGAAGGGAUGUGACAAAAGUUGUUACAUAACAAGUAUCUUCAUUCUCGCAUCCUUUACCAGACUGUUGCUAAACCUACUGGCUCUCACUUCUAUAAAGGUCUCACGAAAGUUAAGGAGGGUUUUGUAGCCAUGUUUUGUUAGUCGUUGGUGAUGGGACUAGAAUUUAUUUCUGGGAAGAUACUUUGCUAGACAAUUUGCCACUUGCUUAUCAGUAUCCAUCAUUAUUCUAGAUUGUGCAACAUAAAGAUGUUUUCUACAGUCUUUGCGACAAUUCCUCUGAAUAUGAGUUUCAGGUGGAACUUAACUGGUGCCAAGUAGACCAGAUGGUUUCAGACGUAAUUGGUGCCAAGUUUCAAUAGAUUUCUGUUGGUAGAUCCAAUGCACCAUGCAAUUGUUGACUGGUAGAUCCAAAGUACACAUAUAUACUGAAAUAUGUCAUGUGUUUGAUCCAAAUUCAUCAUAUAUACACCUCCUUUGGCACCAUAUCAUUGUAUUUGGUGAAUACAUUUGUCAGUUCUAGUAUAAUUGGAAUUAGUAGAAACUGUAUUCAACAUAAUUUUGUUUGCCAGGCUGCCAUUUAGAAUUGUCAAAUGAAAUCAAGCACAUAGACAAGACAUAAAACUACAAAUUGGUAAUUCAAAUCAAGCAUGGCGCAAGGAUCCAUUCAAUUCACCAUAAAUUGGGCACUAGGUUAGUGGGAUUUACCCUAUCAGCUGGGAACGAAGAUGGGUUAGUUUUCACCCGCAUGGUACGGAUAAUAUGGUAAAACAAAAGACCCCAAGUAUUUUAGUGGUAAAUUUUGGAACCGUUGGGUCCACCGGGUAUAUACGAGUCUUGUAAUACUGAUCCUGGUCAUACGUAAAAUAGGCAUAAUAUCGACCCUGCACAUGACGCCCAAUCCGACCUGCCCUACUCCCUCCCCCAAUUCCAGAGUAGGGUUGCUCUGCCAAGUCGGCCAAUCACCCCCCCCCCCUCCCCCCUCCACGACAGGGCUCAGCUGGUUGCACAACCAGAACCGACACGACUUGCCCGUGCGCCCCGGCACCCCCGUGAUGAUCAGGCUCCAAUGCCAAGUUGGUCCAUAUAGUGUUUUGGACUAUGGUCGUUCCUAGGCGUGUCCUCGGUGGAGCUCCACGGGCCCUUCCUCUCCAUAUCCUCCGAUCCCACGACUGAUGUGCAGUGGAUCUGUGGAUGGUUUGGAGACUGGAGUAGGAGAUGGGGAGUGUUGAUAUAGCGAGAAGGAGCAUGCACGCAGCGCACGCGUAUAGCAAGCUCCGUGACAUGCUUUGUGCGUACGUGUGUGACGUUUGCUGUGGACGCUCCUAUAUGAUGUUGUUGGCGUUGUACAUUGCAGCCGGCGUUGGGCUUGCUUACCCGGAUGGCUAGAACAGCGUCAGUUUCGUUCAAUAGGCCACGAUAAAGCAUGUAGAAAAAGGUUCAAACGCCAAACCCUGCCCUAAAUCAAUAUGAAAUUUGAAACUACCCCACACUGCCACUCCUCCAUCCUACCUGUCAGGGCAGCAAGUGCGGUACAUGCCCGUCACGAUUGCAGUAGAAAACUACCAAAACACAAAACAAACAUGCAGCAGACAAAAGUGCAUAAUGCACACCUCCCACAAGUGCAGUAGAAAAGUACUAUACGCACCUAUAGUACAUAUCACGUUGGACCUUCCACAAGUGCAGUAGAAACUUACUAAAAUUGUAAUAUACAAAACUAUAGUACAUAUCUUGUUGGUGGUCAGGGGAUUAAAGGUCUGGAAUAGUAUUCAGUACCAAUGGCAUGCUAAUCGGAGGUUCAGGCCUAGGAUAAGAUACAGUGGCUUGUUGAGGGGUAACCAUGGUUUCAGCUUCACUAGCAAUAGGUGGAAGGGACAUUUUUUUUUUGACGAAAAGAACACAUCGUGCUUUUUAUUGCCAAAGUGGUCGAGAAGAAUUCAACCAAGAAGUAAAUACAAGAUUAAAAGGAAGGGGAACAAAAAAUAGACACAACAAUCUAAGGAACAUCAUCAUUUGCAGAAAGAAGGGCACCAAACCCUAAACUGUCUGCCUCUCUCAAUAAUCUAGCGUCAUCCUGGAUGAGAUCGAUAACAGCCGUCGCAGAGUGCUGAGAAGCUUUGAAGAUCCGGCUAUUCCUAUUCUUCCAAAUAUUCUAGAGGGUCAACAAGAAGAGGGCAGUGGCCCACUUGACCUCCGCCUUCGAGCGAUUAGCAGCAAUGGCGUCCCUCCUGAGGCACCACCACUCCUUGAUCGAGGAAGGUGCAACCCGCGUCACCGGAUUGAAUCAAUUCAUGUGGAACUCCGGCCAACGCCUACCCAAACCUGGCGCGUGAAACUGCACACAAUGCAAAGAUGGAACGCGGUCUCAGGUGUGUUGGGGCAAUGGGAGCACCAUUUCCCCCCACUUGUGGUGUUCUAGCUAGGAAAAUGGACCACAUUUCCCCACACUUGUAUUAAUGGUGUAGUAGAAAACUACUGCUUCCAUCCAUGUAUUUGUGGGCGUACUAAUUUUCGCAUGCAAUCCAUGUAUAAUAGGCAUCCUUUUUUCCAUGCAUCUUGAAGUAACAAAAUGCAACAGAAAAAUAUUGGAGUACACAAAGCACGGUAAACACCUGUCAGAAUUGCAAUAUACAACUACUAAAAAUAUAGAAGUCAACAGUGUAAUACACACUUGCAGUUCAAUAAAAAAGUGUAAUAGACACUUGCUACAAGCGCAGUAGAAAACUAUAAAAAAAAAAGUGCAGUACACACCCAUCAAAACAUAGUAGAUACCUACCAAAAAUGGAUUACACAUAUGCAGUAGAGAAACAAGUAAUGUCAUUGUCGUCAUACAAAGAAGUAAGGAGAAGAGAGAGGAGUGAGAAAUUUUGGUAAGACAAAUUGUUGUGUGUUGCGCAAUUAGAAAGAAGUACUCCUUUUAUUAUCAUAAGAGCUCGUUUACGGUACAAUUUACUACUAGGGUAUCAAGUACACAGUAAAGUCCAAUUGUUUUAUAAAAUCUGAAACCAAUUUGUCAAACAACUUAGUAUAAGGUUAAAUUAAUUAGUACAAGGUUAAAGAAUUAUGAGGUUAAAGAAUUAAACCUUGCGAGUUGAAUAGAUUGUAAAAUUCACUGUUGAGACUGGUUGUUUGACCGUGGCCAAACUCAAAGGCGCUAAAAAAAUGCCGUCCCAGCCGUCAAAUCCCUCCACACCUCUACAUACCGCUUUGCCAGAGCGACGAUGGCACACCACAUGUUCUUUUUUUCUUACAUCUUAAAACUGGUCGAUUAAUCAGCAUUACAAAAUUGGAUGCUCCAAGGAAAGAGUUUUCAAUUUUGACCCACAGGGGCCGGUGCUUACCUUUUGAAUAUAAAGUCACCAAGUUACUAUGCAUAUGCCUCUUAUUUCCCGUCCAAAACCAUCAAACUACUAAGUUGGAAUUCUUACCCUAUUAGGGAAUGGGGAUGGGCAUGUUUUAGUUCCCAUGAGGAGUAGCCUCAUAGGCAAAACCCAAGUCCAACGGGUUUGCAGGGACAUGCAUAUAUGUUUCAGCAAUAGUCUCACAAAGGCCUGCCACCUCCCCCAAGAAUCCAAAUUAAAUCCACCCCACCCAAGCCCUCAGCCAACGCUAAUAUAACUCCCCUUGAAAGACCCAAAUCCUAAACCUACAGCAAAUCAAUUUCAGUUAAAUUCCCAACUCCACCCCUUCACAUGCCUCCCUCUUCGGCACAGUUAUUGUAUCUCCUAUAUCGAUCCAUGCAUCCUUGUCAUUCGCCUCCGACCUCCACAAGGGUCGUCAAAAGCUGUUGGUCGCCUUACUCCUCCAAAGGGAACCAUGUGUGGUGGACUUGGUGGUGGAUGAGGAAUAUGCCCACUCAAACUCUAACCUUCAUCCAUGACGGUUGCGACAACGAGUCUCCACUGUCUAUCCCUUAGCAAGAGGGGCCUGUGAAAUCUAUGCCAAACGUUUGUACGUGAAAAUAACCGGCAGUGUUAAAUAUUCUAGCUUAUGGUUGCUGAAAUAUAUCAAUGUAACUAUAGUACAACUAGAUUUGUGUUUGCAAUAGCAUUAGCUAGAUAAAAUGUAUCAACGUAAAAGGUACCAUUGUGUUUGUAUGAUAAAACUUUUUUUUGUAUGAUAACUUGUGCCUGCACAUUAUGCUUAUUCCCUCCAUAAUAAUGGCCACUUAUUUUUCAAAAAGUUUGCAUAUGUAACAAAAAUUUAUAGAACCUCAGAGUGGAAGAACUUCGCAAUGUGUAGUUUCUCACACAACAAUAGUAUGUUUCCUUUCCUUCUUCGCAGCGCGAUGCCGCAUAACAGUUUCCAUAUCUGCAUGCUUUGCCAUUUCGCCUGGGAGUUGUGGCGCCUGAUCCUCCUCCCAGUUCAGUUCCCCCUAGUUUCUGCCGCAAACUCCCUCCGUCAACUAGAUCAUCCGUGAUCAAUUGGUGGAUAACCCUUUUCCCUAAACCACUCCCAUGGAACGAUCAAAGGGUCUUCCAGGAGGUGUCCAUUGUUCCAUUCUUUCUUGUUCAAGCGGUGCUCACAAACGAGUAUAUUUCCCUUUACUUGGCUACUCUUCUUCUUUAACUCAUCGGCAGAGUUCCUGCCUGUUUCAACACAAAGGUUUUUUUUUUUGCAGGUUAAAAACUUCAUUAAUCAAAAGACUGAACAGAGUCUUGACGCAAAGCGUCGAUUACAAAUUGAGGUUUUUCACCCAACCAGAUUUCAGAGGAGGCAUUGAUUCUCGCAAAAUUAGCAAGAGUGUGGCUAACAUUAUUCUGGCUUCUUGAGCAUUUGAUCAGCUUGACGCCUUCACGUUCCUGAAGGAGGUUGCGAAUCGCAUCCACCGUGUUGCAAUACAUGGACAGGUUUUGCUUUGCAGGAUCAACAAGGGCCAGGACUUCAGAGCUAUCAGUUUCCACCGUGAACGGCAGCGUAGAGAACUGUGCUUACACUAUUGUAAAACUGGUGAAGGCAAUUUGGAAAGAUCGACGUAUUGCCAGCUUCUGUCCUAUUGUUUUGCAAUUUUCUCUCCAUGCUAUAUUUAGAGGAGCACUAUUACAAAACAGUAUAUAUGUGACGAGUCAUCAGUGAAGGCCCUUUCGCGCCCGUCAUUGAUGACCAUCAUCAGUAAUGGGCGUACCACGCUCGUCACUGAUGAGUGGUCAGCACGCGCCCGUCACUGAUGUGUUUCAUCCAAUGUUUGUUUCUUGAUGUAAUGUGAUGUGAUGUGAUGCAAUCCCAUGUUUAUGAUUGUAAUGCAUUUCUUUCUUGAUGGAUCUUUGGUUUUGGUCCCUGCUCUUGCCGCCGUUUCGGCCCCAACCGGCGAGCUGCUGAUUCCAGACGAGAUUCCGGCCUGUUUUUUUUAAUCGUGAAAAUAUAUUUAGUGUCGGUCGUGGUUUUACUGCCCGCCACUGAUGUGGUAGACAUCAGUAACGGGCAGGCCGUCCGCCAGUGAUGAUGGCAGGAAGUUAGUGGCGGGCGGCCUGUCCGUUACCGAUGAAGUUUUUCGGCCGACACUGAUACCCGUUUCUGUAGUAGUGGGGAUGAACCCCUUUUCGAAAGAAAAGAAAAAAAGAGGGGAUGAUGCAUCAGAACAGUGCCUUUUUCUUUCUCUUUAAUUUUCAAGAGAUAAAUGUAAGUGUAUAUAAAGCACCAAAGAAUGCAGCUUGUACGUAGCCAUUUGGAUCCCCUAAGGCUGGUCAUAGUGGGAAUAACAAAGGUGGUAACAUAAGUACCAACUAAGCAAAUUUGGUGAUGUGACAUGUUAUUAAUGAGGAGAGAGGGGUUUGUGGUAACUAGAUAUGUUACUGUAACAUCACACAAACCAAAGUAAGAUGAGUUUACAACCUAAUAAAUGACACAAUGCAUGACACCACAUAUAUGUUACUACUCACUAUGAAGAUAGUAACUUAGAAUAGUAACAAAGACAUGUUACUACUCUAUGUUACCAUGCACUAUGACCAGCCUAAGCACGCACCUGCGGUGAGUAGUUUUCUUUAUAGGCAGUUCCUUAAACUAGGAAAUCUGGAGCCUCAAAGUCCUCAACAAUUAUAUUAAUCAGAUGCUGUAAAAUACAGGUAAUAGGUAACACAAAGUUAAAAGGAUGGCAUCAACUACCAUUGCUUUUUUUUCGUUUUAGAAAAGGGAGCGCUAAAUGAGACAUUUUUUUUAAUACCAUUCGUCAUUUUGGCUUCAGAUGGGAUCUGGCAGAACUAGUUAGCCUUGCUAUUUCCAUGCAUCCGGAGGCAUCUUCUUUUCAUCUAUCAAGGCAACUGAAUUUGGUAGAUUUUGCAGCAACAAGAUGCUAUUCCAUCCAUCACUUAUAUACAUGGAGUUAGUAUGUAAAUAUAUAUAUCCCACGGAAUCAAAUUCCUUUUCUCAAUAUAUAUCCACACUUUGCAAGAACCACAUUGAAAUCUUUGCCAAGGAAACACUUGAUCAACUUUUCUUUAGUAGAUAAUCCAAAAGUCAACUUGAGUGCUCAUUCUGUUACCUUUUUCAUUUUUAUUUCUUUCUGAAAUGCCUUUUCGGAAGUUAAGCCUUUUAUAUAUGGGGAGUUGGAUGCUGGUUGGAGCCAUUAAUCAGGUGGGCUAGCACUCUGCCAAUUUGUUGCUUAUAGGAAUAAAAUCUGAACAGUUUGGGCCAAGCUGGUAAAAAAAUUGGGCCCUGUGUCUUGUCCACAUCGUGAACAAUUAAAUGUGUACCGCACACACACGAAGUGCAUUUGGACAGUGUCCCCAUGCAGAUUUUCAGAACAGAAUAAUUUUCUCAAGAAUACAGAAAAUAAUUUGAAAUUCCCUCAUCCAUGAGUUGAGUUUGUAUACUUGUGAAUUUCAGAGGGGGGGGGGGGGGGAAUAAAAUGAUUGGAUGUACAAAAUAGAAACUGGGUAGAAAUGAAGAAAUCCCCCGAGCCACGAAUCUGCGUAAAAUUCACAUCAAAAGAUGGAAGCAACUAACUUCAUACUCUACUAGUAAUAUAUAAUAUUGCAUCAGAAACUAAUUAAACACAAAACUUAAUUCACAUGGGUUCAAAAUAACAUAGACACGGUGUACAGUACCAGGUAGUUACAACUUACAAUACAUACAUAUACAGAAUGGCAAACACGCAAUCCAAACAUGUAGUAACCACACAAGACCACUCUCACAAGACACUCUCACAAUCACUCACAAACUAUAAUUACCACGAGUCCACGACGAUGCAGCUCAAUAUAACUGCCUUAUUGCAUAUAUAUCUGAAUACCAUGUAUGCAAUGCAAGCCGAUAUUCUUCAGUACUUCUGAAACUUCCACAUGCCCAUGCCAUCAAUGGCAAUGCCGCCCAUGUCCAUGGACGAGAUCUCGGUGGCAGUGGCGUUGCUGACCCCGGCAAUAUCGUCCUGGGACUGCGACACCAUCGACGACGGCCCACUAGCAAUGAAGCCCUGGUCUCCUGCAUGGCCCAUCUGCAGCUGCAUGUGCUGCUGGUAGAAGGACAAGGGCGCCGGCGGUGGCGGCGCUUGCAGCUGAGCCCCAAAGUAGAGGCCGUUCAUGGGAAGUGCCGGGAGCUCUGCAACAUUGCCCAUGGGCAUGGGAGGAGGCAGCUGGUACGACGACGAGGCCCCGGCUGUGGUUCCAUACAAGGUGGAAGGGUCCAUGCCCAUGGCCAUGGGAGGAGGCAGCUGUGUCUGGAUGCAGGCUGCAGUGCUAGAGCCGAGGCCCUGCUGCUGAUCUCCCAUGGCUACGGGAGCCAUGGGGUAGGACGGCAUCACCAGCUUCUUGAUCCCAGUGGUCUUGUGGAAGAUCCGGCAGACCACCCACUCAUCCUACAGAUGUAGAACCAAUUGAGUUAGGGAAAAUCAAGAUUAGGAAUUAAGGAGUAGUUAUGCAGCAGAUGUAUAUAUACAUGCGGCUAUGUGCUACAAGAUUUUGGCAACCGAAUUACCGAAGGGGCACCGGUAUUUGCGGUCACCGUGCUCAGAAAUAUACCGCUCCAAAUUACCGAGGGGCACCGGUAUUUGCGGUUACCGUGGUUAGAAAUAUACCACUCAAAAUUACCGAGGGGUACGAAAUAUACGUACCGCUAAAAUUACCGAGGGGCACCGCCGCACCCGCACCGGUAUUUGUGCAUGUUUAGAAAUGUACAGCUCAUCCUAAACUUAAAAAUUACGUACCCAGGGGCACCGGUAUUUCCGGUUUCCGUAGUUAGAAACAUACCGCUCGAAAUUGAACUUUCUCGACAUGCAAGAUAAUUUAUCCACAUAGUGAGCGUUAUCCAAAUUACCACGGCGGACCGGAUAAAAGGCGGUAAUUAACCAAAUCAUGCGUACUAGCUACUAUAUUAGAUUUAAAUGAGUAGGUACAUACCUUGAGAGAAGAUGAAUUAGUGACCUUGGCAGUGGGCAGGAAGGAGAGCACCUUGUUCUCGUUGUUGUUGUUGUUGCUUUCCAUCCGGUACUCGUGCAUAACCCAGUUGGUCUUCUCGCCACGAGGAGCCCUACCCUUGUAGAACACGAGGGUCUUCUUCAUGCCGAUGAGGACGGACUGUGGCCUGAAUAUCUCCUUGUCCUUACCUGUGGCUUUCCAGUACCCGGCCUGGGUGGCACGGUUUGUCCGGUGGCCCGUGGGGUACUUGCGGUCCCGGUGGCAGUAGAAGUACCACUCCUUCAUGUCGUCCCCGGCCGUCAUCUUUGCCUUCGCCGGGAGCUCCCACGGCUCGCUUUUGUUCAUGUCAACCUCUCCGAUCGCCCUCGUGCAGAAGCUCCUGUUGGACACCUUGGGAUUCAGAUAGAAGACGAUCAAUUCUUCAUCUGUUGGGUGGAACCUAAAGCCAGGAGGCAGAUCCAGCUGCCCCUGUUGAAGGUGCUGCUGCUGCAUGUCUCCCAUGGCUUGAUAUCUCUCUAGCUAGUUUGCAACGAAAAUCUGUAUGGAGCUAGAGAAGAUGAAGAUGUAGAUCGAAUGAUGGGUUUAGGAGAGAGGGAGGAGGCGCUUAAAUAGGGAAGGAGGAGUGUGUAGGUAAGACACUUCCCACAGAAGCCUCCUUAAUUUCCUGUCCCUUUGCACUUUGUUUAAUUUGUCAGUUCCUACUGGGGAUAGAUAGAUAGAAGGAUGGUUCCUAAUUAAGCUCCUCUUUACAGCCGUGUCAUGCUUAUCCCUUGCUUGCCUCUCUCUCCGCUGGAACACACAUUGCGGUGACAGGUAGCAAGGUCUCCAAAAUUCCCAUACUUGAUUUUGUAUGUAUUUGCGAGGUAUACGCAAGCGUAUCCGUUCUUCUUGCUACCGCCCUCAUUGUCUCCCUCUGCAUGUCUCCGUUAAAUUCUAGCCACCCCGCUGCCUUUAUGAUGCUGAUCUUGUGAUCGUUCUGCAUACAUUCUGUUGUGUGCUGGAUACACAAAAACACCUUGCAUGUUUUUUUGCAUAUUACUUUCGAUGGACGGCCAAGUUCAGUUCCGGUUUGCACAAAAAGCUGUGUGCUGGGAAAUGUGACAAAAAUGAGAUCACACGCACUGGCUAUACCUUGCACGCAGCCAGCUGAAAUCGAUCAACAACACUAGCUUAGCUUAGAAGCUUUAGAAUAGAUCGAAUGGCGUCAGCUAGUAACGUUAAUCCUUUUCUUUCUUUUUCUAUGGUGAUGGAAUAAUCACCAUUUGUGUGUGUAUAUCUAUUAAUCUUUCUUCCCUGGAACCGGCCAUGAUCUGCGUUUCAGUUAAUUACCGCGAGAUAUAUGCGGCAACUGCUGGUGUGCGUCGCUAUACAUGUAUAUGUACUUAUCAUCUGCUUGGCCAUAUUCCAAACAUUUGCAUCUAGAAUUCUCGUUCCAAACAUUCUCGCUAUAAUAGGAAUCUAAGAGAAGUUAAUGAAAAGAAACAGGAAAUGUACAUGUAAUGCAUGGCUGGUUGCAUGUUUAGUUGUAUGGGCGGAUGUUAGGGCGAGCCGAGGGGGAAAAUGUAGCAGCGAGACAGAGGCGCGUUGUAGGGACCAAUAAGAAUGGUGCGGCGGUGGGAGAGGAGGCGUUUGCUCCCUAAGUCUAAUGUGACCUGGCAUGAUCGCUGCGCACCCGGUCUCGUCCAAUAUUUGUUUUACCAUCCGUUUUGCUCUUUUGUGCAAUCGUCAUGCAUGACAUGUCUUAUGGUGUCAUGUAGUAGGAUCUAGCAAAAUUAAGGUGGCACAUAAGAAAACUUAAUAAAAAGAAACAGGAAAUGUAAUGCAUGGUCGGUCCCUUGCUUAGUUGUAUGGACGGACGACAGGGCGAGGCGAGGAGGAAAAAGUAGCAGCGAGGCGGAGGCGCGUUGUAGGGACCAAUAAGAAUGGUGCGGCGGUGGGAGAGAAGGCGUUUGCUCCCUAAGUCCGCGCCCCCGGUCUCGUCCAAUAUUUGUUUUACCAUCAGUUUUGCUCUUUUGUGCAAUCAUCAUGCAUGACAUGUCUUAUGGUGUCAUGUAGUAGGAUCUAGCAAAGGUGGCACGUGAGAAAACUUAAUAAAAAGAAACAGGAAAUGUAAAUGGUUGCAUGUUUAGUUGUACGUGUGGAUGUUAGGGCAAGGCGAGGGGGGAAAUGUAGCAGCGAGGCGGAGGCGCGUUGUAGGGACCAAAAAGAAUGGUGUGGCGGUGGGAAAGGAGGCGUUUGCUCCCUAAGUCUAAUGUGGCCUGGCACGAUCGCUGAGCCCCCGGUCUCGUCCAAUAUUUGUUUUACCAUCCGUUUUGCUCUUUUGUGCAAUCGUCAUGCAUGACAUGUCUUAUGGUGUCAUGUAGUAGGAUCUAGCAAAUUAAUUAAGGUGGCACAUAAGAAAACAUAAUAAAAAGAAACAGGAAAUUUAAUGCAUGGUGGGUCCCUUGCUUAGUUGUAUGGACGGACGACAGGGCGAGGUGAGCAGAAAAAAGUAGCUGCGAGGCGGAGGCGCGUUGUAGGGACCAAUAAAAAUGGUGCGGCGGUGGGAGAGAAGGGGUUUGCUCCCUAAGUCUAAUGUGACCUGGCACGAUCGCCGCGCCCCCGGUCUCGUCCAAUAUUUGUUUUUCCAUCGGUUUUGCUCUUUUGUGCAAUCGUCAUGCAUGACAUGUCUUAUGGUGUCACGUAGUAAGAUCUAGCAAAGGUGGCACGUGAGAAAACUUAAUAAAAAGAAACAGGAAAUGUAAUGCAUGGCCGGUCCCUUGCUUAGUUGUAUGGGCGGAUGUUAGGGCGAGGCGAGGGGGAAAAUGUAGCAGCGAGGCAGAGGCGCGUUGUAGGGACCAAUAAGAAUGGUGCGGCGGUGGGAGAGGAGGCGUUUGCUCCCUAAGUCUAAUGUGACCUGCACGAUCGCCGCGCCCCCGAUCUCGUCCAAUAUUUGUUUUACCAUCGGUUUUGCUCUUCUGUGCAAUCGUCAUGCAUGACAUGUCUUAUGGUGUAAUGUAGUAGGAUCUAGCAAAGGUGGCGGUGAGAAAACUUAAUAAAAAGAAACAUGAAAUGUAAUGCAUGGCCGGUCCCUUGCUUAGUUGUAUGGACGGACGACAGGGUGAGGUGAGGAGAAAAGAGUAACAGCGAGGCGGAGGCGCGUUGUAGGGACCAAUAAGAAUGGUGCAGCGGUGGGAGAGGAGGCGUUUGCUCCCUAAGUCUAAUGUGACCUGGCAUGAUCGCCGUACCCCUGGUCUCGUCCAAUAUAAAUUUGUUUUACCAUUGGUUUUGCUCUUUCAUGCAAUCGUUAUGCAUGACAUGUCUUAUGGUAUAUAUGGUGUAGUAGGAUCUAGAAAAGGUGGCACAUAAGAAAACUUAACAAAAAGAAACAUGAAAUGUAUUGCAUGGCCGGUCGCUUGUUUAGUUGUGGCUCCCCCGGUCUGGUCUAGUAUUUGUUUCACCAUCAGUGUGUUGCUCUUUCUUCCAAUGACAUGUUUCAUGGUAUCAUAUAGGAGUAUGCAGCAGGAUCUAGAAAGGUGGCACAUUAGAGGGUAUUACAAAUUAAACAAGGUCUUACCGGUUCCAUUUCAUUAUUGGAGAUAUAAAGUAUUAGGUGCUUAAUGGUAAUUAAACAAUUAAAAAAAGACGGGAAAUACAUUUUUACCGUUGGGGAAAAACAUUCGGUGUUAAAAAAUAGUACGGAGUAUAAUUAUUUAAGCACCACAACUUGUUGUUUCUAAAGGCGAGUCUCUAUAUAUAAUCUUUUCAAUCCCGACAGAUUGCCCUGGUAUAUAUGACCGGUCCCGAUCAGGAAUAAAAGACUUAUACAGUGAUAUAACUAUGCACUAUCAUAGCUUAGCUUCAAUUUCGACAGGAAAAUGGUGUACUUGGCUUCAUUAUUCUACAGUAGUAUAAUGAAGUCCACCUCAUGCAGCCUUUAUUUGCAAUUUAUGUCGCAAAGCUUGCACAUCCUUCUUUUAGGUUAAUUUGACUAUAUAUGCUUUGCUCUUUGCAUUGAUAAUACUACUCCACUCAGUACUAUGUUACAUUCAAUUUAUGUCGUUAUCUAAAGUGCGGGCAUUUCUCUGUUUUAGGUAAGAUGAGAAAGGAGCGCUAGUCGGAUGGAAUUGUAGUCAAUAUAUUUUGCAACGAGUCGAUCCUGCAAAUGCAUGCAUACAUUGGGCAGUAAACCCAACAUACAUCAAUAGGCACAAGAACAAAUGCAGCACCUAUUCUCGUCAGCAAAAGGAAAAUAUGUGCAAUAUCUCUGCUUUCAUUGACAUCAAAAUAGGAAGCAAGAAUAGCAAGUUUGCAUCUUUUCUCAUCGCUAUAUGCGUUACUACAGACUUGUAUUAAAAAUAUAUACCUCUAAAUUAGAACUGGUGCACAGGAAUUAUAAGGUAAACAGAAAUUCCGCACGUAUGCCACAGAAAACUAUGUCUCCGCUAGUGUUCCGCCGGAAAAUGUUGUUCCUUUGCCAUUUAUGUUUUCAAAAUUUAAAGAAAAAAAUCCAUUUUCAUUUUGCAAAACUCUUUCUCUGUUUCCAUAUUUUUCCUCGUUUCAAUUUUUCACGGAACAUACGAAUUGCACAAUCCCCCCCCCCCCCCCUCCCCGUACUUAUUAGCGAAUUAAAAUUCUGGCAGUGAUGAUAAUAAGAAUAAGGCCCCCCGUACUUAUUAGCGAAUUAAAUUCUGGCAGUGAUGAGAAUAAGGUGAAUGGAUAACACGUGCAAGGGCCGAAAUGCACGUGCGUUGCGACGGGACAACAAACUUAAAUGAUACCCUCAAAGAUAUGCGUCAAAACUUCCUCCGUGUGGUCUUCUUUGACGUGUGAUCGUGUCGGUGCCGGCGCCGCUUCCCAGGAGCUUCAGUUGCGGCUCCGACUGGGGCGAGGACGAGAACCUCUGGGAGCUCAUCAACGCCGCGUCGCAGACGCAGCAUGACGAGCAGCAAGAGCAGCAGCGGGUCGUCUUCCUCCAGGUCGCGGGCAUGGUCAGGAGCCAGAGCGCGGAGGGCCAGCUGACAUCGUCCAUGGCACAGAUCGACGAGGACGCGCUGUGCGAGUUCUGCGCCAGCCAGGGGAUGUACUCGUGGAGCCGAAGCCCGGAUAUUCGCUGAAACCAAAGCUGGAGCCGAGCCCAACGAAAAGCCCAAAGCCCAUCCCGAGGCCCAACAAACAACAACAGCAAUGUCUCAAAAAAAAAAUUCAGCCUUCAAGCAUUCUAUAGCAAAGCCCCAAACUCAACACCACACAAGGUCGUGCGCUGCCACGACCUAGAUGCAUAAUGGUCGUCAAGACCCCUUUGAAAGGUGGUCGCGGCCAUCACGCCGCCGAACUCUGAUGUUUGUAUGUAUUUGCCGUGGUUUGUAUACUUCCACAUUUACAUCCUGACUCAAAAUUCUUUGCUCAGAUUGUUGCUUAGUACUGACCUGAAGAUUUUUUUUAAAUGAGGGCUGCCAGCCAAUUACAAUGAGCAUCUGAAACAAAUAAUAUAUCUAUUUGUCAACUUACAUAAAGAGAUGUCAUGGCAGUUUUGAUAACUUUGAUUGAAAAUCCUAGCGAGUCGCUUGGUCGCUAGGAUUAAUAAGGUCCAGAGUCUCCUCACCAAGAUGCAGCUCUAUUCCCAUGUAUUUGUACUGCAAAGAAGAAGGAAUUUCAUGAACAGGAAAGAAAGAUCAGUGGUUAAUUACAGUGAUAACAAUCAAGAGACCAGAUUUUCUACCCCUGGAUGGGUGGUACGACUACGACCCCUAGAUUCAGCAUGAGUUCAUGCUUUUAGAUCGACACAUAUUGUGUCCCUAACUCCCUCUUCCCUGCACUGUGCAGCAUUGUACUGUCCCGGAUGAACUAAUGCAUGCAUAGUUUGUAGUAAUCGAUUUACAUUUAUGCUAGACAAACAACCCACUUGUCAUGUCCAUUGGAAAACAGGUGUGCUCCCAAGAACCAGUUGGAGGAAACAGUAGUACGUGGAACUGCCAAAGUAUGAAAGCGGAAUUCCUUCAUGGAAGAUCCAACCGACUUAGGAAAGAGAAGGAUUGGCUUUGCCUGAGAAGAUACGCAGAUCCGUGCCACCACGAGGACGGGGCUUAAACGCGGAGGCUUCGAGCGUCGAGGUGAGACGCCGUCGUCCCUGAUGCAGCGAUGGCGGCGGCAGAGGAGGAGGAGGAAGGGAGCGGCACAGGGAAAGGAAAGGGGGCCAGUGCGGGCGAGGGUUUUUGCAGAUGAGAGAGGCGCGGGGCGACGGUUGAGGAGGCGGCGGCGCGGGCGGAGGGGGAGCGCAGCGGCGGCAGAGCAGAGGAGAAAGCGGCUCUGCGCGACGGCUUCAGCUUCCGGUGCUGUCGAGUCGUGACGAAGAUUUUGCGUUAGCGAUCUCGUUCCUAUGUGUAUCAGUUGGGCCAGCUCGGUGUCGGCCUGCUGGGCCUACUGUGUAUGUGCCCAGCAGAGGCACGCGUCGUUCUCCUGGCCCAGCAAGCCGUUCCGAUCCCAUCGAUCGACCCGGGGUGUGACGAACAACGAAAAGUUUGUCUUUGCAGUCGGCUGAAUGGGCCGUCGAAGCUACUGCACUUUUAUGUUUGUGUUCAAAAUACUUCUUUUGUGCGUUUACAAAUUUUGAUGUUCAUUUGCUUUCAAAUUUCGAGAUGAAUAUUCUCGACAUGAAACUGUGGGCGACACUAGCCGCAGAAAAUUCCAUUGGAUCUCUUAUCAGCAUAGUUUUACGUGCUAAGCGAUCUCCGCUGAGAGCAUAUCGACACUCCUUAGUGGACAGGACACCAUCAAAAGAAAGCAACAGGACAGAAUCAUAUCAACAUGAUCUCAGUCGAUUCGGGCCUACUAAUUCCGAAUCUUUUUGAUUUACUUCCUCCGUUCCGUCCAACAGACGUGUCUUAAGUUUUGAUUAAAUUUCAACAGACAUGUCUUAAGUUUUGAUUAAAUUUGAAUGCGUCUAUACAUGUCUAAAUACAUUAAAUUUUUGACAAACUUGAGACAUUUUUUGUUGGACGGAGGGCGUACAAGAAAAUAAGAGUUCUUGAUCCCAAACGAGAUCAAAGUGUCUGCACCUCAAGAUCUCACAAAAAAUAAAUAAAAGGUCGAUCUCAAUUACAAUAUUUUUUCGGGGCAAACCAUCUCUAUCACAGUUCACAAAUAUGUCCACGGCAUGUACGGGUAUAUAUGCAUAGCAAUCAGCGAGUACGGGUAUACCACGCACACUUGGUCCAAUGAUCCAUCAUUACAAAUUAAUUAUAACAAAGAUGACGAUCAAACAGAAACAGAGACACCCACGCAACCCUUUAUUCCGACAAACCCUCAGUACGUUGCUUUAUUAUUACGGGAAGCGCUGCUUGAACCAACAAACUUGUUCCUGCCAUCACCACAGAACACAAAUUAAGCCAGAAACUGUAACAGAAUACCCUGCUCUUCUCAUUUUGGGGGUUUCAUAGAGAAAAAGAAAGCUCGGUGAUUGGUACUCUUAAAUUUGAACCGUGGAAUUGUAUCGAUGAAGAUGCCAUUGUUCAAGGCUAUGAUUAACUUCUAUGAUAAAGAUGAUGCAGACAUGAAACUGAACUGAUGCGACAACAAAUAAAUAUACAGGGCAAGCCCAGGAGAUAAACAGAAGAACUUACACCAGGCAACGAUCUUCCAGCGCUGGUUGUCGCCCUCGCACCACUCCCACAGCACGAGGGUGGUCCCAUCGCGCACACCACCAUGGUCCUUGUCGCCAUGGAGCGCAUCAAAGUUCAAGUAGAUGUUGUUCACCAUCCUGAUGCAGCGGUAGCCUUCACCGACGUCCCUGCUCUCGGUCCACAGGACAGACUCAUCCAUGUACUCUGGAUUGUAGCUGGCCAGGCGAACCUAACAAAACCCAUUGAAAAAGCAGGAGUACUGAUUAAGAUCCAAGAACGAAACCAGCAGAAUCACACAGUAUCAGAGCAGCACUGUAGGCAUGAAUAUCAGGACAUGACCAUGGCUACAUUUCAUAGCAAUACCAAAUUUAAUUGUGGACCUUUCAGCAUUGUGUAUACAAAAUUUACCAAACUGGAGUAUUUAAGAACGAGUUUUACUUGACAGUGCACGUGCACAACCAUAGAAGUACUGUCACAUAUGCGCAUGGAUGCUAAUGUUAAAUUAGUUCACAUAUAAGUGUUUGAUGCAACAAAUACACUGACAGUUGUUUACAAAAUUUCUGAACAUAAAAGUGCACACGGUCAUCUGUAUGUAUGCACUUAUGUAUAUAUUUUUCCCGAAAAGGGGGAUGUCCCUGGCCUCUGCAUCGAUGGGAUGCGAUGCACACAACCACUUUUAUUGCAAUGUUAAGGUAAUGUGAAACGCCAUGGCAGAUCUUAGGAUGUUGACACUAACGUACACUGACAAAAGAUUACUGAAAAUUUGCUGACACAAAGCAAAUUGUUACUUGACAGUGCACAUGCACAACCAUAGAAGUACUGUCGUGUGCACAUGGAUGCCAAUGUUAAAUUAGUUUAGAUCUAAGUGUUUCACACAGCAAGUACACUGGCAGUUGUUAACAAAAUUUUCUGAACAUGAAAUUGCAGAAGGUCAUCUAUAUGUAUUCACUUAUAUUUUUUCCAAAAAGGGGGAUGUCCCCUGGUUCUGCAUCAAUGUGAUGCACACAGCCACUUCUAUUGCAACGUUAAGGUAAUGUGAAACAAGAAUUAUUCUAGGAUGUUGACACCGUAACAUACACUGACAAAAGAUUACUGAAAAUUUGCUGAACAAGACACCUACUAGGCAAGCAUUAUUCUAAAGCAAGUCAUCUCAGACAUAAAGGAUAGCAGAACAUGACACCACUACGCAAAUACUAUUCGAAAGCAGAAUUGAUUAGUCCAAUGGAACACAGCCCUGUAUGAAGUGUCCUAGGCUCCUAGCAGAUACUCUGAUAUGUCUGAAUUUGUCAAUACAAUCCACUAGGUCCAUUGCGGAUGCUUGCAUCGGAUGGGGAAACUAAAUUAAAGGACGAUGGAUGGAUGAGUGGAAGCAAGGAUUGAACAGGUAACAUACAGGGUGGGAUUGGCCGAGGGAGUGCUUGAGAGCCUCCCCGGUGGCCUUGUUGACGAGCGCGAUGGCAGGGUAUCCUUCCUCAUCCUUCACCCUCGUGCUGUACUUCAUGUCCUUGAUCCAGUGCUGCAUAAAAAAAUACACAUAGAACUCAUUUCAAGCAGAAAACAACUUCUUUUUUUAUCCCGUUCCCCAAAAAAAGAAAAGGACAAAAGCACACGCCAAAUCCUCAGAUCCCGAAAUCACUCUGUGGAAUUCGUGCGAAUACGGGAAAGGUAAAGGGGACGACGGAUCUGUGUGCUGUGCAGGGUACCUGGGCGUCGUCGUCGCGGUCGGUGCGGACGAGGCAGACCUUGCCGUCCCUGGCGGCGAGGCUGAAGCCGGCCUCGCCGGCCUUGCAGACGAUCCUGAAGGUCUGCUGCCUGACAGGGGCCGCCCCACCGCCGCCACCGCCACCGUGGUGCGGGCGGGUCUCGUGGCCGUACCCGGAUCCGCCGCCGUAGUGCGGCCUGUCCUCCUCGCCGGACUCAUGGGAGACGUGGACGACGUUGCCGUAGGCCGGGGCGGGCGCGCGUCCGCCGCCGUAGCCUCCGUCGUCGUCGCGGCCGCCGUGGCCGUAGGCCGGAGGCGGGGCGCGGCCUCCGUAGCCGCCGUCGUCCUCGCGGCCGUAAGACGGAGGCGGCGCACGGCGGCCGUAGCCGCCGUCGUCGUCGUCGCGGCCCCCGCCGUAGGCCGGCGGGGCACGGCCGUAGGGGUCAGCUGGAGGGCGGCCGUAGGAAGGGGGAGGGGCGUCGUAGGGGUCUGCGGCGGGGCGGCCGUAGGAAGGGGGAGCCGCGUCGUAGGGGUCCUGGUGGCCGUAUGCGGGCGCGUGGCGGCGGCGGUCGUCGGAGUCGUCGUCGCCGCCGCCGCGGCGGCCGUGGCCGUGGCCGUGGCGGUGAGGGUACUCCGCCAUGAUUAAUUGAUCUGGGAGGAGAUGAAAUGGGGGAGGAAAUUGAAUUUUGAGGUGGAUCUGAAUUAAUUCUGAUGAUCUGGGCCUGGGCCUUGCUAUAUAUGGCCCGGACUUGUCGCUGUCUGGUCCGGUCGGUCCGACGCAGCCAUCAAACGGGUCGGACCUUGACCCGAUCGGAUCGGGCGCGACGUGGCGUCCAUUAUUGAAGGCCCGUCGACCGAUCUCGAGUUUGCAUUCUGUUUUGCAACCGAUACCCACGUGUCAGCUAAUCAGGCGUCCACGUACGUGUUAUACGUGUCCACGUGUACAGCCAGCUCGACGCAGGUACCCUCCAGGUGUUCAUAUUCGCUUGUGAUAUAAAGCCAAAAGGAGACACUGUCCAGAAUAAAAAUGGAGUAAGAAAGAGACAGUUCCUCCAUUGCUCACUACUGUACUAUACUGCUUGAUUUAAUUAGUGUUUUUUUAGCGAAAAUUUAAUUAGUGGUGCACACGUCGCAGAUUGAUUCGACCGUCCUGCAAAUCGUAUCAAAUCAGCCUGCUCAAUUAUAUCGCUUGAUUUUUAUUUGUCUUCCUUAGAAAAAGGUUGAUUUGUACUCUAUGGCCCAUAAACAGUGUGAUCGUACGCUGACAGCUGCUUUUGUUUGUUUGGUUUUUCUUGCAUGUGUUCGUUAAUUCUUUAUUGUUUGGCUCAAGGUUUACUCCACCGUGUGAUCCCAAUAAACAAUCUCGUCAGGCCUCCAGAAUCAAUAACGUCAAUCUUCCUAGUAUCCCCUCUCUGAAAAAAAUAAUAUUGCGCAAUAUUUCUACGAUGGAAUUUACAUGGCCUAGAGUGAUGCACAUGCUCAUCUGUAGGGCCUAAUUGCCAGAAAAAGAAGAAGAGAAAACUUUUUUUUGAGCGAAUAGAACAAGAGAAAGCUAAAGCAGGGCCCCACAAUACGUGCGUAAAAAGAAGAAACAAAUCUGAGAGGGUAUUGGGCCAAACCCACUCCUAACAGGCCUAACAUGUCCUUGUAGUCGGGCGGUUGGGCCCACGUACAGUUAACGGCCUGCCUGCACAUACCCAACCAAAUCGCACCCACUCGGUACAUACAGGCCGACAGAUUUGGCCCAUUCUCUAUGAUCCACUUUGUACUAAUAUUUUGUUUUGUUUUUCUUUUUCUUUUCUCUUUCCUACGAAAAUAAAAUACGGAGUAAUCCAGUACUAGUAUAUGCUUUUUUCUAGGAAGCAAUAGCUCUGCCGAUGCAAGCAAUACAUGCUAGUAGUACAUUGGUACUGACUUAACUAAAAAUUGUUUUCUGGGCCGAUCACACGCUUUGCUGCAGCUAGCAAGCAUACACAAGUUGCUGAUCAGCUUGCGUCAAUCCCAUCACUUUGAUUAACUUAAGAUGAAUCUGACGAAAGAUCUAUCUCUAUCUACGGAUCGAUGUGCAGAUAGAGCUAGCUUGUAUAUGUGUGACAUCAUUUUGCAUAGCUUGCGAGGCAUCAAACCUUUUGGAUGGAUGCUUUCAGCACAAGUCUCUGGCUCUCUGCAUGCACGAGAGCUUAGUUAAUUAAUCGGUUGCUUCAUACUCCUACUACUACGGAGUAUUAGCCAAGUGACGUGCGCUUUUGCUUCGUCUUAGGAAGCAGCAGCUUAGUUAUUUUUUUUUAGAACAUCGCAGUUUAGUUAAUCAGCUCCGGUUAGCUAUAUAGUUGCAUUGGGUGGUCAAACACUUGACCGAGAAUAGUUGUUUGGAAUUAAUAUUUGGAGGCUGAGGGAACAAUGUGCUUAGCUAGCUAGCUUGGUAACUCCCUUGCCUUUCACGUUACACGUAAAUACGUACUGCACAUUCCACAAGCAAAAGGGUUUAAAGUUAAAUACUCGGUCGCCUUACGUGAGAGAAUUCCCAAACAUGUAAAUUAACGAGCUACCAUGCACAAUGUCAACAACAGAAAUCAUAUAUAUGUAUAUAUAGUGGAUGAAGGCACUCAUUCCAUAUAAUUUUAUCAUUUUACUGUAUUAUAUUCUAGCUGAUGGUGGUGGACACACAUGGCC